AUGGAUUUCGUGGAUGGAAGGUGGGGAAACUUGGGGAAAUGCUAGAUCCACUUGAAACCAUGCAAAUCCAUGGAUCAAAAUCAACAAAACAUCAUCAAACCAACAAAUCACAAAAAAAAAUUGGGGCUAUUUUUGGUGGGGAUUUUCGGAUUUAGGACGAAAACAACAAAAUCAAGCUAGAAAAAGGGGGCAGGGGCUCCAAAAACGUGAUCAACAUGGCUCAUGAUACCAUAUGAUGUAGGGUGGAACCCUAUAGCGUCGAUCUUUCACGUUUGGAGUGGAUCCUACGGGGAAUCACGAAGAACACGCGGAAGCACAAAGGGAAACUCGGGGGAAAAUGAGAGGGAAUCACUCAACCAACAAGGAAUCGAUCACACAAGUGCUAGAUCAUCGAAUACAUAGAGUAACAUAUGAUCCACAAUCAACAAAGGGAAAGGAUACAACGGAAUCGUUCUUCUCCAAGAGGAGGCCUUGAUGUUCUUCCCUAAAGAGGGGUCUUGAAUCCGCUUGGGGAUCUUCUCCGGAGAGGUCCUGAUCUCCGAGGAGAAGUAUCCAAGUGGAUGAGCAAAGGCUCUCACACAAAUAUGAGCUAAUCCAAUGCUGAGUCUCAAAGUGAGGAGGAGGAGUCCUAUAUAUAGGCUAGGGGGCGAAGGGGUACAUGGGCUCAGCCCAAGUCGCGCACACAGGCGGGGUCCGGAUGAUCCAGAUGGUGGCCCGGAUGAUCCGGGUGUCGGGGGUCCGGAUGAUCCGGGUGACCGUCCGGAUGAUCCGGCUUCGUCGAGCAGCUUCGGGUGUCUUCGGGCGCGUUAGCCGGAUCGUCCGGCUGGGUGUCCGGAUGAUCCGGGCAAGUCCAGUCUUGCUCCAUUCUUCUUCUUCCUUCUCCUCUUCCAUGCUUGGCCUUGAUCCUUGGAUUCUCCAUGGUCAUCUUGGUUGUACCUGAGUGUAUGCAAGGUCCAUGCAUGAGGUAGUAGUCGUGUCUCAUAUGCGGAAAGUGACGGUUCGAAGAGGAGUGAAUUCACCUUGUGUCCAAUGGCGCAUAGUCGAGGUCUCAUCUUAUGUGUCCUUAGGGCUUGGGGAGUAGUCGGAGUGUACAUGGGGAUGAACGUGGGAUGCUCCGCAUCAGUUAGUUCGUGCCAAUGCUUGUCGAUCCUGCACUUCACGUUUAGCUUUACAAGCAAGAUGGAAUAAACGAGUGAUAUUAGUAUACUCCUUAUAGUCUAGAAUGGUCUGAAUCUCUCUAUUUAAUCCACCCAGAAAAUGUGCAAGCAUAGCUUCAUUCUCCUCAAUAAUACCACAUCUAAUCAUGCCAGUUUGUAAUUCCUGAUAAUAUUCUUCUACAAAAAAUUUUCCUUGUCUUAAGCGCUGUAAUUUUUGAAGCAAUUCACGUUGAUAAUAUGGUGGAACCCAACGAGUACGCAUAGCAGUUUUCAAAGCAGCCCAAGUAGUUGGAAUAGGAUAUAAUCUACAAUGUUCAGACCACCAUACACAUGCAAAACUAGUGAAAGCACAAACAGCAGCGGCAACCCGUCUCUCCUCGGGAUAUUGUAAACAUGUAAAUCGUUGUUCAGUUUCUAACUCCCAAGUAAGAUAUAUAUCAGGAACAUAUCUACCCUCGAAAGGUGGAAUAUUCAAUUUCAGUUUAGGAAGAUGGUCAUGAUCUCGUACCUGAGAGAAAGCCCUACCAUUGUGAUUAUUUGCAUGUGGACGACCUGGUGGUUGUGGUGCAGGUGGUUGCACGUAGUUCUGAUUUUGAGCAACCUCAUCCUCGUAAUCUCCCACAUAAUCAUCCUCCUCCGCAUCAGCAGCAGGAGCCACAGAAGUAUCAACAACAGCACCAACAAUUUGGCCAAACGCAAGAGGAACACGGCUCGCUCGGCGGAGGUCUGUUUCGCGACGUGGAGGUAGUUGUUGUUGUUGGUGUUGGAGAGGUGCGUUAGGUGCAGCGGGUGGUGGUGGUGGAAGAAGCGCGAGCAAUUCAUUAAACUUGUUAUCGAGCUUUGUUUCGAACGUCUUCUCCAUGCCAUCUAUCUUCUCCAUGGCCUCUUCAAAUCUGUUUAGCACAUCUUGCACCUGUCCACUCAUCAUUUGCUGAAAUUUAUCAUGCAAAUCCUUAUUCGUCAUGUUCUCCCAGUCAGUCUCGUCGGCUUGUGAUCCUGGCAUGGUUAGCAACAAUAGAAACACACAAGAAUAUGAUCCUAUAGACUACUAACAAGAGGUGGUGGUGGGUGUCUAAUAGAGGCGAGGGUCCCGAUCUUUCGAUGAGAUGAUAACUAUCGAUUUGGUGGAAACGACUUUGACGAUCCGACUACAAACGUGGACGACAUUGCGCCUUAGCAACCGCUAAACCAAUCUCCUGAGGUUACUGACGAUGCUGGAAGCACGGUCAGCCUGACCACGAAGGUCUAUUCCUGCAAGCAAUCGAAGAACGAGCAAGAAUAUGAUAAAGCAAUCUGAAUAUUGCAAAUAUAUAUGAAGUAUUGAUAAUGGUGGGGAUCCGGAAGCGGUCUUGGUCUGGUCGUUGGACACAAACGAAGUACACGAAGUUGCAAUGGCUAACUUUUAACUAAACAAAUCCCAAGGAAAAGCUACUAGAUGGAUCUACUUAUAUAGGAGCAAGGGGUGGCGGCCAAGGAGGUGGGAGGACGUCCCAAGGCAGCCUAAAACUAAAUCUAGGUCGUACAAGGCCAAUGGGCCCAAGUGGAGGUGAUGUAACACCUUUGGACUUGUAGUUUGGCUCGGAUUCUGCUGCAGCAUCAGAUUGUUUCGUUCACAACUCAACGCUCCGGAAGAAUUUGAAGGUGAUUCCAAUUGGGUUGGAAAGUGCACGAAAUCUAGUUUCCAACAAAAAAAGAAUCACCCAAUUCGGAGUCCGUAUGAAAAACUUGUGUGCGUUUUGAGUCAGGUAUGUCUGUGCAGUCCGAAUCUGAAUCCAGAACGUGAGAGACUUGGACUCUAUCUUCUCUUGGGCCAAAAGUGACGUGAGAGAACUUUUUGGACAGCAAAUAAACAUCUCUUUCUUCCUUAUCUUCAUAUGUGGAUUGUACAAAUGUCCCAUACACCUGCAAUUAGACAAAACACAAAAGUGUGUGAAGUAUUUUUGUUCUGGAUAACAUAAAUAGAUUAUUGAAUAGUUUGCACUAGAAAUCACCUGACAAAUAUGCAUAUAUGCAAUAUUUUUGGUCAUAUCCAAGGUAGUCAUGUCCUCAUCAUCCUCCCCUUCUUGAAAAUAAAGCCGUCCUCGGCGUUGCUUAAUCUGAAAUGUGGCUAACAAAAGAGACAAGGUGUACAUAUUGUAUAUGUAUAUGUCAUCCAUUUUUACUUCCCUUGAUUUUUGCAUAUAUGAAACAUGAAUAGAUGAGUAACUUGCAUAGUUCAUAAAAUCUAAAUCCAAAAAAUUAGCACAAGAAGUAGAAGGCAUGAAAAUAUUGCAACUCAGUUUGCACAUAUAAGUGAAGCUCUUAUUCAUUUCAAAAGAUUGACAAUGUUCAUCAUUAAACCAUCCCAACAUUGGUGAAUAAACCUUACUUGCAUCAAAUUUACAUGCUACAACAUGCUUAAAUAAGCAAACAUGCAAUAAGUCAUUCAACACAGAAUCAUCACCAAGAUUAGAGGUCAUAUCAAAAUGAUUAAACAUUGGUUCUUUUGCAUCAAUAGUUAAUUCAAUGGGUGCAUUCAAAAUUGUUGGUAUUUCAGUUGUUUGAUCACAUGGCAAAGUUAAAUUAUCAACGUAGUCCUCUAAAAUAGGUGGUGUGAUCAAAGUAGUGGGUAGCUCAUCAGAUGGUGCAUUCAAAUUGACAAGGCAUUCAUCAUUCUCAUGUAGAGAUGGAAGAUCAGUACCUUUGUCAUUACCUCUUAUGAUCAACUCAGAUGAUGUAGCCACUCUCGGAGGCGAUGUGUCACAUGGUGGAGGUGAUGUAGUCCUGACAACAACGGAUGUGGUUGUCAUAGUAUGCCUAGUAGUUGAAGGAACAAUCAUAUCAACUCUUGGAAUGUGCACCGUGCGCUUGUUCUCCUCGUGGCCAACACGUCGUUUUAUUUCCUGUUCAGCUUUGCAAGCAAGAUGAAAUAAAUGGUCCAUAGGAUAACACUCUUCAUGAAUUAGUAUCUCUUGAAUAUCACGGUUUAAUCCUCCCCAAAAUCUAUCCAUAAAAUCAUCUUCACUUUCUUUUAAAGAGGAAUGCAACAAGGUAGUUUGUAAAUCAUCAUAAUAUUUUGUUACAGUUUCACUACCUUGUUUUAAGUGUUGCAACUUCUUAAUCAUGUCACGAGUAUAAUAAGCAGGGACGAAAGUAUGUCGCAUGGCAAGUUUCAAAUCAUCCCAAGUAGUAGGAAUAUAAUCAGGGUGUAACCGACAAUAUUCACUCCACCAAACCAAAGCAUAACCAGUGAAAGAACCAACCGCAACCUUAACCUUUUUAUGUUCAUCGAAAUUAUGGGAAGCAAAUAUAUUUUUUAUGUCGAACUCCCAUUCAAUAUAUAAAGCAGGUUUAAAACGGCCAUUAAAUGGUGGUAUAGAUACAUUAACCUGAUCAUGUGCAUUUGGAUGUUUGUGCACCUCUCGUGACGGUUGUGGUAUUUGCAAAGGUGGUGGCACGUCUCCCGCGAUCGACAAAGCCCAUGAAUGGACUCUGGAUCCUGUCAUGAUUAGUAGAACAAGAAACAAAACCCAAAAAUAAUGUUCCUAUAACUACUAGGAUGUGGUGGUAAAACGCUCACAGUAAAGCAAAUACCAAUGUCUUACAAGUUCUUACCAUGCAGCAGGCGGUGAUCGGCAACCAGCGGUGUCAAGUAACUCCGAAUAUUGAGUAAAGCGAUUGCCAGGGGAGCGUACGUAUACACGGUGUAGAAAUAUGUGGAGCUAGGUUGGCUAUAUAUGGUAGCAAAAGAUUAGCAAUAAUCAAUUCAAAGAUGCAAUGUUGAAUAAACGGCUCAAUGACGAUACUGUGCUGGUCCUAGGCUAGACCGGACUAGAGACGCGAGCCUAGAACACUAAUGAGGUCACGGCGUAGCACAACUAGCAUCAAUGAAGGAUACUAAGUAGCUCUUGACAGCAAGAUAUAAGUGAAGAUCACAACGGCAGUGAAGAUAAUGAUGAAAAACAACUGCCAAGCAGGAUAUACAACAACUCUCUCUCCAACUUUCCUCUUGAAAAGUUUGAGACAAUUUUCUGAUAAAUUCUUUCAAAGAAUGCUACUAACUCAAGCUUUCCAAUGCAAAAGGAAUCACUCAAUUCCGAGUUAAUAUGAGGAGUCAAAGAAUUCUAAAACUGGCCUGAAAAAUUGGAACAAGCUGUGUUCACGAACUUCGGAGGGCAAAAAGACCUAUUUAGAAGCCGAUUUUGAGGUGUCAAAUAUUGAACUAGCUUCUGCAACUAUUUAGAUGCGUCUCGUCGCUAGCUUCAAUUUGAGUACUCACGGAGCAAAAACUGACUUCGUAUGAGGAAGAUACACCUGUUUUACUGAACAGUGCGCAAAACAGAUUCCAAUCCGAAUUCAGGUACGAGAUUGAUUCUAGAUAGAUCCAAUUUUUUUUCUCACGCCUUUUUUUUCUUUUUCUUCUCCCUCUUUUUCUUUUUUUUUCUUUCCUUUUUUCUCUCUUUUUUUUCUUUAUCUUCUUUUUCUCCCUCUUUCCAAGACAAACUAGAUAAGAUGCAGAUUCGAUCAGGAGAAGAUGUGAGUGACCUCAACUAUGAUUAUGACAAUAAACAGUGUGUAGCAUAUGGUGGAAAUUGGUGGAUGGGAUGGUGGACAGCGGAUGGGAUAAUGAUGCAGCGGCUGCGUGACUAAUGUGAACAGAACUCGAAACUCUAAAGGAACUAGACACUAAGACCAGCAACUCGACAUGGCGAUGCAACCGAUAAUUCAAUAAUGCAAAAAAUGAAAAGAAAAUUGUAAAGGCUCAGUCUGGCUAGGACAAAGGAUGAAUAGAUCUAACUUUUGUUUUGUGGCUUUUUCUUGGACAAUAGGUAAGAAAAUAAAUCUAAUCUAGGAAAACUGGAAAUUCUCACCGAGCAACCUGAAAACUGAUACCACUUGAUAGAGGCGAGGGUCCCGAUCUUUCGAUGAGAUGAUAACUAUCGAUUUGGUGGAGACGACUUUGACGAUCCGACUACAAACGUGCACGACAUUGCGCCUUAGCAACCGCUAAACCAAUCUCCUGAGGUUACUGACGAUGCUGGAAGCACGGUCAGCCUGACCACGAAGGUCUAUUCCUGCAAGCAAUCGAAGAACGAGCAAGAAUAUGAUAAAGCAAUCUGAAUAUUGCAAAUAUAUAUGAAGUAUUGAUAAUGGUGGGGAUCCGGAGGCGGUCUUGGUCUGGUCGUUGGACACAAACGAAGUACACGAAGUUGCAAUGGCUAACUUUUAACUAAACAAAUCCCAAGGAAAAGCUACUAGAUGGAUCUACUUAUAUAGGAGCAAGGGUCAAAAACUCUCAAAGCUUGGAUAGAGCGAUUACCAGGGAGAGUCAAACGCACGACGUAGAUGUAUGUGGAGCUGGGAAGGCUUAUAAUAUGGUAGCAAAAAGGGUCAGCAAUAAUCAAUUCAGAGAUGCAAAGUUGAAUAAACGCUCAACGACGGUACUGUGCUGGUCCUAGGCUAGACUGUGCUAGAGACGCGAGCCUAGAACACCAACAAAAUCACGGCGCGGCACGUAAACUAGGGAGGAGCACACUCUGAAUUUUUUUUUCUCUUUUUUUUGCACUUUUUUUUCCUCUUUUUUUUUUUGCUCCGCAACAAUUUUUUUUCGAAAAAGUCUACAAAUAGUCUAAAAACUGCCUAGCCAGAAUUUUCCAGGAUGGCUCAGAAGUUGGGGAGUCCUUCUCUGUCACGACUCGGAGUGUCGCGUGAUCUGGAAAUCGAGAACAAUGCAACAAUUACUGGACUCGGACUAGGACUGGUGGCGGAGAUGAAUCUGGUGGAACUCGGACUGGUGGCGGAGAUGAAUCUGGUGGAACACGGACAGGUGGCGGAUAUAUGUUGCAGGUGAACUCGGAUUGGCGUGAUGGCGGCGGAUAUGUGGUGGCGUAUAUGGAUUCGGAUUGGCGGUGAAUAUGUGGUGGUGGUAUAUGGCAACAGCGACGAUGAUGAUGCGGUGGUGAUAUAUGGCAGCGGCGACGUGACAACCUGUGAACAGAACUCGAAACUCUAAAAGACUAGACGCUAAGACCAGCAACUGGACACGACGAUGCAACCGCAAAUUCAACAAAGCAAAUACAGAAAAGAUUAUGCAAGGCUCAGAUUGGUUCGGAUGGGAUGAACUAACCCUAAUUUUUUUUGGCUUUUUCGUGGACUAUAGGUAUGAAGAACAGACUCGAUCUAAACUACGAAAAACUGUAAAAUCUCACCGAGCAACCUGGAAAUCUGAUACCACUUGAUAGAGGCAAAGGUGUCCCGUCUUUCGAUGAGAUGAUGGAUAUCGCUUUGGUGGAAGUCGACUUUGACGAUCCGACUACAAACGUGCGAGGACGUCGCGCCUUAGCAAUCGCUAAACCAACUCCGAGAGGUUAUUGACCACGCCGGAGCACGAUCAGCCUGACCACGAGGGUCUGUUUCCUGCGAGCGAACGAAGAACAAGCAAGAAACUAAGAUUGCAAUCUGGAUAUUGCGAAUAUAAGAUGAAAGCUUUAUUGAUCAAGGUGGGGUUUUGUGACGCCUUUGUCUGGUCGUUGAACACAAACGAAGUACGCGAAGUUGCAGCUAUGGCGAACUUUUAAUCUAAACAAAACCCAGAGUCUAAACGGUGCCCUAAGGGCUGUAUAUAUGGAGGAAGAGAGGGGGAAUUUCGUGGCCCUUGGUGGAGGGGUCCGAAAUCAACCCUAUCUCUUGUUUCCCCACACAUACGGACUCUAAAAAUAGCCUAUACUUAUGUAUUUCGAAAUUACAUGGGCCUGGCCCAAUAAAAAGGUGACGCAGCACCUAUAAUAGCCUCGGGACGAAAUUUAUGAAGUGGCAUCUUGUAUAUUUCGUCCAAGGCUUCAUGCACCCAUUAUGGUGGCUUCAAAGUCCUGAAAUCAUCACUUAUAACUCCGUUCUUGUUCCCCUUGCGCAUGCCAUCAUCUCCAUGCUUGUUCUUGCUCCAAUGUUCAUCCUUCUCCAAGCUAGGCCCUUCAUUUGUAAGCAAAACAAAUGUAUCCAAUUUAGGCAGCAUCAUAUUCUCAUGAACAUUAGAAUCAUUACCAAGAAACGAAAGUACCUGGUAAUUUAGUUGGCGUGCACGAGCUCUAGUAAUUGGUCCAGUAUGUAUAGCAGCAGGGGCUGUGGGUGUAACAAUUGUAUUGAUGUCCUCAUCACGGAGUACCUUCAAAUUCAGCCUUAAGCAGGACUUUUUGGCCCUCAAAGUCAAAGAACAUCAUUCGUCGUUGUUUUUCAGACAAGUUUCUGAACCCAUUGGCACUUCCUUUUGAAGGAAAUUCGAGAGAUUAUGUUCUUAUAGACACUAGCCCCCCUGAUAGGGACAAACGUACCUUUCUGCAGAUGCUCUAUGAUCCGGGCAAUCUCAUUUGGCCGUAAAUUGAAGAAAAUCCAAAGGCUAUAUGCCUUAUUCUCCUUGUUUUCGCCGGAUGGCAUGCUGUAACUCAUGCGCGAACGAAAGGGCAUUCCUGGCAUCGGUCAAUAUGUAUGUGGAAACGAUAUCUCCUCUAUAGAGGACAAGAAAUUUUGGGGCAAUCAGGCAAAAAGCGCACGAGAAAAUGAAGUACUUUCAAGGACUGCCAUAGAAUGGACAAAUGUUCACUAAAACGGUCAUAAUUUUGUCAUUCGGGUCUGUGUCGGACCCAUAAGUACUCAAACUGCUCGCGGCGAGAGCGUGAAUCCAAAAAAUAUUCACCGCUUGCGCCAGGAGGCCUGGAGUACCCACAAAUUCAGCCUUAAGCAGGACGUUCUGGCCCUGGAAGUCAAAGAACAUCAUUCGUCGCUGUUUUUCAGACAAGUUUCUGAACCCAUUGGCACUUCCUUUUGAAGGAAAUUCGAGAGAUUAUGUUGCUUAUAGACAUUAGCCCCCCUAGUAGGGACAAACGUACCUUUCUGCAGAUGCUCUAUGAUCCGGGCAAUCUCAUUUGGCCGUAAAUUGAAGAAAAUCCAGCGGCUAUAUGCCUUAUUCUCCUUGUUUUCGCCGGAUGGCAUACUGUAACUCAUGCGUAUGAAAGCCAAGAACAAAAGGGCAUUCCUGGCAUCGUUCAAUAUAUGUGUGGAAACGAUAUCUCCUCUAUAGAGGACAAGAAAUUUUGGGGCAAUCACACAAAAAGCACACGAGAAAAUGAAGUACUUUCAAGGACUGCCAUAGAAUGGACAGAUGUUCACUAAAACGGUCAUAAUUUUGUCAUUCGGAGCCCGUGUUGGACCCAUAAGUACUCAAACUGCUCGCGGCGAGCACGCGAAUCCAAAAAAUACUCCCCGCUUCCUCCAGGAGGCCCGGAGUACCCUCAAAUUCAGCCUUAAGCAGGACUUUUUGGCCCUCAAAGUCAAAGAACAUCAUUCGUCGCUGUUUUUCAGACAAGUUUCUGAACCCAUUGGCACUUCCUUUUAAAGGAAAUUCGAGAGAUUAUGUUGCUUAUAGACACUAACCCCCCUGAUAGGGACAAACAUACCUUUCUGCAGAUGCUCUAUGAUCCGGGCAAUCUCAUUUGACCGUAAAUUGAAGAAAAUCCAAAGGCUAUAUGCCUUAUUCUCCUUGCUUUCGCCGGAUGGCAUGCUGUAACUCAUGUGCGUGAAAGCCAUGAACAAAAGGGCAUUCCUGGCAUCGGUCAAUAUAUAUGUGGAAAUGAUAUCUCCUCUAUGGAGGACAAGAAAUUUUGGGGCAAUCAGGCAAAAAGCGCACGAGAAAAUAAAGUACUUUCAAGGACUGCCAUAGAAUGGACAAAUGUUCACUAAAACGGUCAUAAUUUUGUUAUUCGGAGUCUGUGUCGGACCCAUAAGUACUCAAACUGCUCGCGGCGAGAGCGUGAAUCCAAAAAAUACUCACCGCUUGCGCCAGGAGGCCUGGAGUACCCACAAAUUCAGCCUUAAGCAGGACUUUUUGGCCCUGGAAGUCAAAGAACAUCAUUCGUCGUUGUUUUUCAGACAAGUUUCCGAACCCAUUGGCACUUCCUUUUGAAGGUAAUUCGAGAGAUUAUGUUGCUUAUAGACAUUAGCCCCCCUAGUGGGGACAAACGUACCUUUCUGCAGAUGCUCUAUGAUCCGGGCAAUCUCAUUUGGCCGUAAAUUAAAGAAAAUCCAGCGGCUAUAUGCCCUAUUCUCCUUGUUUCUGCCGGAUGGCAUGCUGUAACUCAUGCGCGUUAAAGCCAAGAUGAUGUAGGGUGGAACCCUAUAGCGUCGAUCUUUCACGUUUGGAGUGGAUCCUAUGGGGAAUCACGAAGAACACGCGGAAGCACAAAGGGAAAACACGGGGAAAAUGAGGGAGAAUCGCUAAACCGACAAGGAAUCAAUCACACAAGUGCUAGAUCGAAGAACACAAAGAGGUACAUGAGAUCCAAAGUGAUAGAGGCGGGGUGUCCCGAUCUUUCGAUGAGAUGAUAACUAUCGAUUUGGUGGAGACGACUUUGACGAUCCGACUACAAACGUGCACGACGUUGUGCCUUAGCAAUCGCUAAACCAACUCCGAGAGGUUAUUUACCAUGCCGGAGCACAAUCAACCUGACCACGAAGGUCUAUUCCUGCAAGCAAUCGAAGAACAAGCAAGAAUAUGAUAAAAGCAAUCUGAAUAUUGCGAGUAUAUAUGAAGUAUUGAUAAAGGUGGGGAUCCUUAAGCGGUCUUGGUCUGGUCGUUGGACACAAACGAAGUACACGAAGUUGCAAUGGCUAACUUUUAACUAAACAAAUCCCCAGCAAAAAGCUACUAGAUGGAUCUACUUAUAUAGGAGCAAGGGGUGGCGGCCAAGGAGGUGGGAGGACGCCCAAGGCAGCCUAAAACUAAAUCUAGGUCGUACAAGGCCAAUGGGCCCAAGUGGAGGUGAUGUAACACCUUUGGACUUGUAGUUUGACUCGGAUUCUGCUGCAGCAUCAGAUUGUUUCGUCCACAACUCAACGCUCCGGACGAAUUUGAAGGUGAUUCCAAUUGGGUUGGAAAGUGCACGAAAUCUAGUUUCCAACAAAAAAAGAAUCACCCAAUUCGGAGUCCGUAUGAAAAACUUGUGUGCGAUUUGAGUCGGGUAUGUCUGUGCAGUCCGAAUCUGAAUCCAGAACGUGAGAGACUUGGACUCUAUCUUCUCUUGGGCCAAAAGUGACGUGAGAGAACUUUUUGGACAGCAAAUAAACAUCUCUUUCUUCCUUAUCUUCAUAUGUGGAUUGUACAAAUGUCUCAUACACCUGCAAUUAGACAAAACACAAAAGUGUGUGAAGUAUUUUUGUUCUGGAUAACAUAAAUAGAUUAUUGAAUAGUUUGCACUAGAAAUCACCUGACAAAUAUGCAUAUAUGCAAUAUUUUUGAUCAUAUCCAAGGUAGUCAUGUCCUCAUCAUCCUCCCCUUCUUGAAAAUAAAGCCGUCCUCGGCGUUGCUUAAUCAGAAAUGUGGCUAACAAAAGAGACAAGGUGUACAUGUUGUAUAUGUAUAUGUCAUCCAUUUUUACUUCCCUUGAUUUUUGCAUAUAUGACACAUGAAUAGAUGAGUAACUUGCAUAGUUCAUAAAAUCUAAAGCCAAAAAAUUAGCACAAGAAGUAGAAGGCAUGAAAAUAUUGCAACUCAGUUUGCACAUAUAAGUGAAACUCUUAUUCAUUUCAAAAGAUUGACAAUGUUCAUCAUUAAACCAUCCCAACAUUGGUGAAUAAACCUUACUUGCAUCAAAUUUACAUGCUACAACAUGCUUAAAUAAGCAAACAUGCAAUAAGUCAUUCAACACAGAAUCAUCACCAAGAUUAGAGGUCAUAUCAAAGUGAUUAAACAUUGGUUCUUUUGCAUCAAUAGUUAAUUCAAUGGGUGCACUCAAAAUUGUUGGUAUUUCAGUUGUUUGAUCACAUGGCAAAGUCAAAUUAUCAACGUAGUCCUCUAAAAUAGGUGGUGUGAUCAAAGUAGUGGGUAGCUCAUCAGAUGGUGCAUUCAAAUUGACAAGGCAUUCAUCAUUCUCAUGUAGAGAUGGAAGAUCAGUACCUUUGUCAUUACCUCUUAUGAUCAACUCAGAUGAUGUAGCCACUCUCGAGGGCGAUGUGUCACAUGGUGGAGGUGAUGUAGUCCUGACAACAACGGAUGUGGUUGUCAUAGUAUGCCUAGUAGUUGAAGGAACAAUCAUAUCAACUCUUGGAAUGUGCACCGUGCGCUUGUUCUCCUCGUGGCCAACACGUCGUUUUAUUUCCUGUUCAACUUUGCAAGCAAGAUGAAACAAAUGGUCCAUAGGAUAACACUCUUCAUGAAUUAGUAUCUCUUGAAUAUCACGGUUUAAUCCUCCCCAAAAUCUAUCCAUAAAAUCAUCUUCACUUUCUUCUAAAGAGGAAUGCAACAAGGUAGUUUGUAAAUCAUCAUAAUAUUUUGUUACAGUUUCACUACCUUGUUUUAAGUGUUGCAACUUCUUAAUCAUGUCACGAGUAUAAUAAGUAGGGACGAAAGUAUGUCGCAUGGCAAGUUUCAAAUCAUCCCAAGUAGUAGGUAUAUAAUCAGGGUGUAACCGACAAUAUUCACUCCACCAAACCAAAGCAUAACCAGUGAAAGAACCAACCGCAAUUUUAACCUUUUUAUGUUCAUUGAAAUUAUGGGAAGCAAAUAUAUUUUUUAUGUCGAACUCCCAUUCAAUAUAUAAAGCAGGUUUAAAAUGGCCAUUAAAUGGUGGUAUAGAUACAUUAACCUGAUCAUGUGCAUUUGGAUGUUUGUGCACCUCUCGUGACGGUUGUGGUAUUUGCAAAGGUGGUGGCACGUCUCCCGCGAUCGACAAAGCGCAUGAAUUGACUCUGGAUCCUGUCAUGAUUACUAGAACAAGAAACAAAACCCAAAAAUAAUGUUCCUAUAACUACUAGGAUGUGGUGGUAAAACGCUCACAGUAAAGCAAAUAUCAAUGUCUUACAAGUUCUUACCAUGCAGCAGGCGGUGAUCGGCAACCAGCGGUGUCAAGUAACUCCGAAUAUUGAGUAAAGCGAUUGACAGGGGAGCGUACGUAUACACGGUGUAGAAAUAUGUGGAGCUGGGUUGGCUAUAUAUGGUAGCAAAAAAUUAGCAAUAAUCAAUUCAAAGAUGCAAUGUUGAAUAAAUGUUCAACGACGGUACUGUGUUGGUCCUAGGCUAGACCGGACUAGAGACGCGAGCCUAGAACACUAAUGAGGUCACGACAUAGCACAACUAGCAUCAAUGAAGGAUACUAAGUAGCUCUUGACAGCAAGAUAUAAGUGAAGAUCACAACGACAGUGAAGAUAAUGAUGAAAAACAACUGCCAAGCAAUACAACAACUCUCUCUCCAACUUUCCUCUUGAAAAGUUUGAGACAAUUUUCUGAUAAAUUCUUUCAAAGAAUGCUACUAACUCAAGCUUUCCAAUGCAAAAAGAAUCACUCAAUUCCGAGUUGAUAUGAGGAGUCAAAGAAUUCUAAAACUGGCCUGAAAAAUUGGAACAAGCUGUGUUCACGAACUUCGGAGGGCAAAAAGACCUAUUUAGAAGCCGAUUUUGAGGUGUCAAAUAUUGAACUAGCUUCUGCAACUAUUUAGAUGCGGCUCGUCGCUAUCUUCAAUUUGAGUACUCACGGAGCCAAAACGGACUUCGUAUGAGGAAGAUACACCUGUUUUACUGAACAGUGCACAAAACAGAUUCCAAUCCGAAUUCAGGUACGAGAUUGAUUCUAGAUAGAUCCAAUUUUUUUUCUUCUCUCUUUUUUUUUCUUUUUUUUUCUCUUUUUUUUCUAUCUUUUUUUUUCUUUUCAAGACAAACUAGAUAAGAUGCAGAUUGGAUCAGGCGAAGAUGUGAAUGACCUCAACUAUGAUUAUGAAAAUGAACAGUGCGUAGCACGUGGUGGAAAUUAAUAGAUGGGAUGGUGGACAGCGGAAGGAAUAAUGAUGCAGCGGCGGCGUGACUAAUGUGAACAGAACUCGAAACUCUAAAGGACCUAGACGCUAAGACCAGCAAUUGACACGACGAUGCAACCGAUAAUUCAACUAUGCAAGCAAUGAAUAGAAAAUUGGACACAAACGAAGUACACGAAGUUGCAAUGGCUAACUUUUUUUUGUGUGGCUUUUUCUUGGACAAUAGGUAAGAAAAUAAAUCUAAUCUAGGAAAACUGGAAAUUCUCACCGAGCAACCUGAAAACUGAUACCACUUGAUAAAGGCGGGGGUCCCGAUCUUUCGAUGAGAUGAUAACUAUCGAUUUGGCGAGGAUGACUUUGAUGAUCCGACUACAAACGUGCACGACGUUGCGCCUUAGCAAUCGCUAAACCAACUCCGAGAGGUUAUUGACCACGCUGGAGCACAAUCAACCUGACCACGAAGGUCUAUUCCUGCAAGCAAUCGAAGAACAAGCAAGAAUAUGAUAAAAGCAAUCUGAAUAUUGCGAGUAUAUAUGAAGUAUUGAUAAAGGUGGGGAUCCGUAAGCGGUCUUGGUCUGGUCGUUGGACACAAACGAAGUACACGAAGUUGCAAUGGCUAACUUUUAACUAAACAAAUCCCCAGGAAAAGCUACUAGAUGGAUCUACUUAUAUAGGAGCAAGGGGUGGAGGCCAAGGAGGUGGGAGGACGUCCCAAGGCAGCCUAAAACUAAAUCUAGGUCGUACAAGGCCAAUGGGCCCAAGUGGAGGUGAUGUAACACCUUUGGACUUGUAGUUUGACUCGGAUUCUGCUGCAGCAUCAGAUUGUUUCGUCCACAACUCAACACUCCGGACGAAUUUGAAGGUGAUUCCAAUUGGGUUGGAAAGUGCAUGAAAUCUAGUUUCCAACAAAAAAAGAAUCACCCAAUUCGGAGUCCGUAUGAAAAACUUGUGUGCGUUUUGAGUCAGGUAUGUCUGUGCAGUCCGAAUCUGAAUCCAGAACGUGAGAGACUUGGACUCUAUCUUCUCUUGGGCCAAAAGUGACGUGAGAGAACUUUUUGGACAGCAAAUAAACAUCUCUUUCUUCCUUAUCUUCAUAUGUGGAUUGUACAAAUGCCCCAUACACCUGCAAUUAGACAAAACACAAAAGUGUGUGAAGUAUUUUUGUUCUGGAUAACAUAAAUAGAUUAUUGAAUAGUUUGCACUAGAAAUCACCUGACAAAUAUGCAUAUAUGCAAUAUUUUUGGUCAUAUCCAAGGUAGUCAUGUCCUCAUCAUCCUCCCCUUCUUGAAAAUAAAGCCGUCCUCGGCGUUGCUUAAUCUGAAAUGUGGCUAACAAAAGAGACAAGGUGUACAUGUUGUAUAUGUAUAUGUCAUCCAUUUUUACUUCCCUUGAUUUUUGCAUAUAUGACACAUGAAUAGAUGAGUAACUUGAAUAGUUCAUAAAAUCUAAAGCCAAAAAAUUAGCACAAGAAGUAGAAGGCAUGAAAAUAUUGCAACUCAGUUUGCACAUAUAAGUGAAGCUCUUAUUCAUUUCAAAAGAUUGACAAUGUUCAUCAUUAAACCAUCCCAACAUUGGUGAAUAAACCUUACUUGCAUCAAAUUUACAUGCUACAACAUGCUUAAAUAAGCAAACAUGCAAUAAGUCAUUCAACACAGAAUCAUCACCAAGAUUAGAGGUCAUAUCAAAAUGAUUAAACAUUGGUUCUUUUGCAUCAAUAGUUAAUUCAAUGGGUGCACUCAAAAUUGUUGGUAUUUCAGUUGUUUGAUCACAUGGCAAAGUCAAAUUAUCAACGUAGUACUCUAAAAUAGGUGGUGUGAUCAAAGUAGUGGGUAGCUCAUCAGAUGGUGCAUUCAAAUUGACAAGGCAUUCAUCAUUCUCAUGUAGAGAUGGAAGAUCAGUACCUUUGUCAUUACCUCUUAUGAUCAACUCAGAUGAUGUAGCCACUCUCGGGGGCGAUGUGUCACAUGGUGGAGGUGAUGUAGUCCUGACAACAACGGAUGUGGUUGUCAUAGUAUGCCUAGUAGUUGAAGGAACAAUCAUAUCAACUCUUGGAAUGUGCACCGUGCGCUUGUUCUCCUCGUGGCCAACACGUCGUUUUAUUUCCUGUUCAGCUUUGCAAGCAAGAUGAAACAAAUGGUCCAUACGAUAAAACUCUUCAUGAAUUAGUAUCUCUUGAAUAUCACAGUUUAAUCCUCCCCAAAAUCUAUCCAUAAAAUCAUCUUCACUUUCUUCUAAAGAGGAAUGCAACAAGGUAGUUUGUAAAUCAUCAUAAUAUUUUGUUACAGUUUCACUACCUUGUUUUAAGUGUUGCAACUUCUUAAUCAUGUCACGAGUAUAAUAAGUAGGGACGAAAGUAUGUCGCAUGGCAAGUUUCAAAUCAUCCCAAGUAGUAGGUAUAUAAUCAGGGUGUAACCGACAAUAUUCACUCCACCAAACCAAAGCAUAACCAGUGAAAGAACCAACCGCAACCUUAACCUUUUUAUGUUCAUCGAAAUUAUGGGAAGCAAAUAUAUUUUUUAUGUCGAACUCCCAUUCAAUAUAUAAAGCAGGUUUAAAACGGCCAUUAAAUGGUGGUAUAGAUACAUUAACCUGAUCAUGUGCAUUUGGAUGUUUGUGCACCUCUCGUGACGAUUGUGGUAUUUGCAAAGGUGGUGGCACGUCUCCCGCAAUCGACAAAGCCCAUGAAUUGACUCUGGAUCCUGUCAUGAUUAGUAGAACAAGAAACAAAACCCAAAAAUAAUGUUCCUAUAACUACUAGGAUGUGGUGGUAAAACGCUCACAGUAAAACAAAUAUCAAUGUCUUACAAGUUCUUACCAUGCAGCAGGCGGUGAUCGGCAACCAGCGGUGUCAAGUAACUCCGAAUAUUGAGUAAAGCGAUUGCCAGGGGAGCGUACGUAUACACGGUGUAGAAAUAUGUGGAGCUGGGUUGGCUAUAUAAGGUAGAAAAAGAUUAGCAAUAAUCAAUUCAAAGAUGCAAUGUUGAAUAAACGCUCAACGACGGUACUGUGCUGGUCCUAGGCUAGACCGGACUAGAGACGCGAGCCUAGAACACUAAUAAGGUCACGGCGUAGCACAACUAGCACCAAUAAAGGAUACUAAGUAGCUCUUGACAGCAAGAUAUAAGUGAAGAUCACAACGGCAGUGAAGAUAAUGAUGAAAAACAACUGCCAAGUAGGAUAUACAACAACUCUCUCUCCAACUUUCCUCUUGAAAAGUUUGAUACAAUUUUCUGAUAAAUUCUUUCAAAGAAUGCUACUAACUCAAGCUUUCCAACGCAAAAAGAAUCACUCAAUUCCGAGUUGAUAUGAGGAGUCAAAGAAUUCUAAAACUGGCCUGAAAAAUUGGAACAAGCUGUGUUCACGAACUUCGGAGGGCAAAAAGACCUAUUUAGAAGCCGAUUUUGAGGUGUCAAAUAUUGAACUAGCUUCUGCAACUAUUUAAAUGCGGCUCGUCGCUAUCUUCAAUUUGAGUACUCACGGAGUCAAAACGGACUUCGUAUGAGGAAGAUACACCUGUUUUACUGAACAGUGCGCAAAACAGAUUCCAAUCCGAAUUCAGGUACGAGAUUGAUUCUAGAUAGAUCCAAAUUUUUUUCUUCUCUCUUUUUUUUCUCACGCUUUUUUUUUCUUUUUCUUCUCCCUCUUUUUCUUUUUUUUCUUUCCUUUUUUCUCUCUUUUUUUUCUUUAUCUUCUUUUUCUCCCUCUUUCCAAGACAAACUAGAUAAGAUGCAGAUUCAAUCUGGCGAAGAUGUGAGUGACCUCAACUAUGAUUAUGACAAUAAACAGUGCGUAGCACGUGGUGGAAAUUGGUGGAUGGGAUGGUGGACAGCGGAUGGAAUAAUGAUGCAGCGGCUGUGUGACUAAUGUGAACAGAACUCGAAACUCUAAAGGAACUAGACACUAAGACCAGCAACUCGACACGACGAUGCAACCGAUAAUUCAACUAUGCAAGCAAUGAAAAGAAAAUUGCAAAGGCUCAGACUGGCUUGGACCAAGGAUGAAUAGAUCUAACUUUUGUUUUGUGGCUUUUUCUUGGACAAUAGGUAAGAAAAUAAAUCUAAUCUAGGAAAAACUGGAAAUUCUCACCGAGCAACCUGAAAACUGAUACCACUUGAUAGAGGCGGGGUGUCCCGAUCUUUCGAUGAGAUGAUAACUAUCGAUUUGGUGGAGACGACUUUGACGAUCCGACUACAAACGUGCACGACGUUGUGCCUUAGCAAUCGCUAAACCAACUCCGAGAGGUUAUUUACCAUGCCGGAGCACAAUCAACCUGACCACGAAGGUCUAUUCCUGCAAGCAAUCGAAGAACAAGCAAGAAUAUGAUAAAAGCAAUCUGAAUAUUGCGAGUAUAUAUGAAGUAUUGAUAAAGGUGGGGAUCCUUAAGCGGUCUUGGUCUGGUCGUUGGACACAAACGAAGUACACGAAGUUGCAAUGGCUAACUUUUAACUAAACAAAUCCCCAGCAAAAAGCUACUAGAUGGAUCUACUUAUAUAGGAGCAAGGGGUGGCGGCCAAGGAGGUGGGAGGACGCCCAAGGCAGCCUAAAACUAAAUCUAGGUCGUACAAGGCCAAUGGGCCCAAGUGGAGGUGAUGUAACACCUUUGGACUUGUAGUUUGACUCGGAUUCUGCUGCAGCAUCAGAUUGUUUCGUCCACAACUCAACGCUCCGGACGAAUUUGAAGGUGAUUCCAAUUGGGUUGGAAAGUGCACGAAAUCUAGUUUCCAACAAAAAAAGAAUCACCCAAUUCGGAGUCCGUAUGAAAAACUUGUGUGCGAUUUGAGUCGGGUAUGUCUGUGCAGUCCGAAUCUGAAUCCAGAACGUGAGAGACUUGGACUCUAUCUUCUCUUGGGCCAAAAGUGACGUGAGAGAACUUUUUGGACAGCAAAUAAACAUCUCUUUCUUCCUUAUCUUCAUAUGUGGAUUGUACAAAUGUCUCAUACACCUGCAAUUAGACAAAACACAAAAGUGUGUGAAGUAUUUUUGUUCUGGAUAACAUAAAUAGAUUAUUGAAUAGUUUGCACUAGAAAUCACCUGACAAAUAUGCAUAUAUGCAAUAUUUUUGGUCAUAUCCAAGGUAGUCAUGUCCUCAUCACAAAGUCAACAAAGGUAAGGAUAGAAAGGUAACCGAUCUUCUCCGUGAGGAGGCCUUGAAUCCACAAGGGGAUCUUCCCACGAGGGGGUCUUGAAUCCGAUAGGAUCUACUCCGAAGAGGCCGCGGUCUCUCACGAGGAGGAGAUCCGAUGGAUGAGCGAAGCUCUAUCUCUAACUUGAGCUAAAUCAACGCUAAACCUAACUAGGAGGAGGUGGAGGAGUAUAUAUAGUCUAGAGCCACGAAGGGGUAAGUGAGGCGAAGGGGUACACGUGCUCGGCCCAAUACACUGUGCGCAGACAGGACGGUUGUACCAGACAUGUGGCCGGUUGUACCGCUGUUAACUCGUUCAGGGUGGAAGUACCGGUCAGACGGGGCAGUAGUUCUGCUCGAAGCCCAGGCGCUGGCUUCAGGAGGUGUACGCCGAAGGCGCAGCAGUUGUUCCGGUCAUCGGGGCGGUUGUUUCGGUCUUUUGGCAGGAACCGGUAAAACCGGUGUAGCACCGGCCUUGCUCUGCUCGAUCACAGAAGGUGGACCGGUUGUUGGGCGGUAGUCGGCCGGUUGUUCCUCUCGGGCGGUGGUUGGGUGGUUGUACCGGUCGGGUGGCUUCAAUGGUAGUACCGCCUGGAGUGGGCGGUAGUACCGCUCGUUCUGGAGCGGCCGGGUUCUCUUCCUCCUUCUCUUCCAUGCUUGGCCUCGGUCCUUGGAUUCUCCAUGGUCGUCUCGGUCGUACCUGAGUAUAUGCCAGAUCCAUGCAUGAGGUAGUAGCCAUGUCUCACAUGUAGAAAGUGAAGGUUCGGAGAGGAGCGAGUUCACCUUGUGUCCAAUGGUGUAUAUUCGAGGUCUCGUCAUAUGUCCUCUUGGGGCUUGGAGAGUAGUCAGAGUGUACAUGGGGAUGAACGUGGGAUGCUCCGCAUCAUCUGCCCCCCCCCCUUGUGAAAGAUCCGACCUCGGAUCGUGAUCCUCAUCACCAUGGAAACUGUUGUCGUGGACGGACUUGUAGUUGGAUGAAGUUGAAGACAUGGUGCAAUCCAAGUAGUCCAAGGUGUCGCCGAAAUGAUAGACAUGCAAAAAGAGCAAACACAAGCAACACUCGGAAAUGCAAUGGUUAGCGCACACAAAGUGUCCAUCAUGUAAGAAUGAGUCCGUGCGGCAAGAUUGGUCGUGACAAAGCGCAUGAAGCUUAUCAAGAUGAUCUAGAAUGAGAUGCAAAGUAUUCAUGGGAGGAAAAACAAUCAUUGUGUACACAAAUGUGUUAGGAAUAUUAGCAAUGCAACCGCAAUGCAAAAUGAUGUCAUAAUGGGAUGGUUUAUCAAAUGCAUGAACAUGGCAAUAAAUGCUCAACAUGUGGAUAUUAUCAUGCAAUUGACGGUCGGCAAUAUGAUCAUUAUGUAUGAAUAUGCCAUCAAGGUAGAUCACAACAAAUUUGCUAAGGAAGUGCACAAGCUCAUAUAUCAUGGAUGUCAUGGAAAUAGAUGCAACAAGACAAGCAUAAUUUGAGUCAAUCCAUGCAUAGCGUGCAAACUUGUGGUGAGUAUGAUAUGUCCAUCGAUGAUGAGGACAUCAAUACAAUUGUUACACCCACAGCCCCUGCUGCUAUACAUACUGGACCAAUUACUAGAGCUCGUGCACGCCAACUAAAUUACCAGGUACUUUCGUUUCUUGGUAAUGAUUCUAAUAUUCAUGAGAAUAUGAUGCUGCCUAAAUUGGAUACAUUUGUUUUGCUUACAAAUGAAGGGCCUAGCUUGGAGAAGGAUGAACAUUGGAGCAAGAACAAGCAUGGAGAUGAUGGCAUGCGCAAGGGGAACAAGAACGGAGUUACAAGUGAUGAUUUCAGGACUUUGAAGCCACCAUAAUGGGUGCAUGAAGCCUUGGACGAAAUAUACAAGAUGCCACUUCAUAAAUUUCGUCCCGAGGCUAUUUUAGGUGCUGCGUCACCUUAUUAUUGGGCCAGGCCCAUGUAAUUUCGAAAUACAUAAGUAUAGGCUAUUUUUAGAGUCCGUAUGUGUGGGGAAACAAGAGAUAGGGUUGAUUUCGGAUCCCUCCACCACGGGCCACGAAAUUCCCCCCCUCUUCCUCCAUAUAUACAGCCCUUAGGGCAUCGUUUAGACUUUGGGUUUUGUUUAGAUUAAAAGUUCGCCAUAGCUGCAACUUCGCGUACUUCGUUUGUGUUCAACGACCAGACAAAGGCGUCACAGAACCCCACCUUGAUCAAUAAAGCUUUCAUCUUAUAUUCGCAAUAUCCAGAUUGCAAUCUUAGUUUCUUGCUUGUUCUUCGUUUGCUCGCAGGAAACAGACCCUCGUGGUCAGGUUGAUCGUGCUCCGGCGUGGUCAAUAACCUCUCGGAGUUGGUUUAGCGAUUGCUAAGGCGCGACGUCCUCGCACGUUCGUAGUCGGAUCGUCAAAGUCGACUUCCACCAAAGCGAAAUCCACCAUCUCAUCGAAAGACGGGACACCUCCGCCUCUAUCAGCGGUACCCUAAAGAAAAGACACAUCUUUCUUUGUAAGCUCAUUGAGAGGUGCAGCAAUGGUGCUGAAAUCUCUCACAAAACGCCUAUAGAAUCCAGCGAGGCCAAGAAAACUCCUCACUUGUGUGACCGUUUUGGGCUGCGGCCAACUCUCAAUAGCUUCAAUCUUGGCUUUAUCAACUUCAAUUCCCUGUGGAGUAACAACAUAGCCAAGAAAAGAUACUCGGUCGGUGCAAAAGGUGCACUUCCCAAGGUUACCAAACAAACGUGCAUCACGUAGAGCAAUAAAAACAGCACGUAAAUGUUCCAAAUGUUCUUCCAAAGAUCUGCUAUAAAUCAAUAUGUCAUCAAAGUAAACUACCACAAAUCGUCCAAUGAAAGCACGUAAAACUUCGUUCAUUAAUCUCAUGAAAGUACUAGCUGCAUUAGUUAACCCAAAAGGCAUGACUAACCACUCAUAUAAUCCAAACUUAGUUUUAAAUGCUGUUUUCCAUUCAUCUCCCAAUUUCAUACGAAUUUGAUGGUAGCCACUACGCAAAUCAACUUUGGAGAAUAUUGUAGAGCCACUCAAUUUAUCAAGCAUAUCAUCUAGCCUAGGAAUAGGAUGACGAUAACGAAUAGUAAUAUUAUUAAUGCCUCUACAAUCAACACACAUACGUGAUGUACCAUCCUUUUUCGGCACUAGAAUAAUAGGAACAGCACAAGGACUAAGGGAUUCGCGUAUAUAACCUUUGUCGAGAAGCUCUUGUACUUGACGCAUAAUCUCCUUCGUCUCCUCUGGAUUGGUACGGUAUGGUGCACGGUUUGGCAGUGAAGCACCGGGAAUUAAGUCGAUCUGAUGCUCAAUCCCUCGAAUAGGCGGUAAUCCCGGUGGCACGUCUUGUGGAAAAACGUCAGCGAACUCCUGCAAAAUGUUAGUGACAGCAGGAGGCAAAGAGGAAGGCACGUCCUCGAAUGAAAAUAAUGCCUCUUUGCACACAAAAGCAUAGCAAACAGAUUUGCUGAAAUCUAGCUCAUCAAUAUCAGAUUUGGUGGCAAAUAAACAUGCACUUUGCAAUUUAAUUUCAGAAGCAACACUAGAUGGUUUAUUAUUAGGCUUCAUUUGUUGCUCAAAUUCUUUUGCCACAAUCUGAUUUUCACUCUUAUUCUUCUCCUGUUGUGCUUUAUUAGCUCUAUUAAUAUCAUCUUUCAAAAUGGAAUCAGGGGUCAUAGGAAGCAAAGUAAUAUUUUUAUCCUUAUGAACAAGAGUAUAGUGAUUGUUUCUACCAUGGUGUACAGAAUUUUUAUCAAAUUGCCAUGGUCUACCAAGUAAUAAGGAACAUGCUUGCAUAGGUACCACAUCACAAUCAACAUAAUCAGCAUAUGUAGAGAUACUAAAAUGCACACGAACAGUACGUGUUACCUUAACCUUGCCGCUGUUGUUGAACCAUUGGAUGUAGUAAGGAUGUGGAUGUGGUCUUGUGGUGAGAGAAAGCUUCUCCACCAUCUCCAUGCUAGCCAAGUUGUUGCAGCUCCCUCCGUCUAUGAUGACGCGCACAGAACGUUCCUUCACAACUCCCUUGGUAUGGAACAAAUUGUGCCUCUGAUUUUGCUCAGCUUGUGUGAUCUGCACACUCAAAACACGUUGAGCAACUAAACAUUCAUACCUGUCAGCGUCUUCAGGAGCCAUGUAUUGCGUCUCAUGAUCAGAAUCAUCUCCACCAUGUUCUUCACGUGUAAUAAGAGCCAAAGUCUGAUGAGGACAUCAAUACAAUUGUUACACCCACAGCCCCUGCUGCUAUACAUACUGGACCAAUUACUAGAGCUCGUGCACGCCAACUAAAUUACCAGGUACUUUCGUUUCUUGGUAAUGAUUCUAAUAUUCAUGAGAAUAUGAUGCUGCCUAAAUUGGAUACAUUUGUUUUGCUUACAAAUGAAGGGCCUAGCUUGGAGAAGGAUGAACAUUGGAGCAAGAACAAGCAUGGAGAUGAUGGCAUGCGCAAGGGGAACAAGAACGGAGUUACAAGUGAUGAUUUCAGGACUUUGAAGCCACCAUAAUGGGUGCAUGAAGCCUUGGACGAAAUAUACAAGAUGCCACUUCAUAAAUUUCGUCCCGAGGCUAUUUUAGGUGCUGCGUCACCUUAUUAUUGGGCCAGGCCCAUGUAAUUUCGAAAUACAUAAGUAUAGGCUAUUUUUAGAGUCCGUAUGUGUGGGGAAACAAGAGAUAGGGUUGAUUUCGGACCCCUCCACCAAGGGCCACGAAAUUCCCCCCUCUUCCUCCAUAUAUACAUCCCUUAGGGCAUCGUUUAGACUUUGGGGUUUUGUUUAGAUUAAAAGUUUGCCAUAGCUGCAACUUCGCGUACUUCGUUUGUGUUCAACGACCAGACAAAGGCGUCACAGAACCCCACCUUGAUCAAUAAAGCUUUCAUCUUAUAUUCGCAAUAUCCAGAUUGCAAUCUCAGUUUCUUGCUUGUUCUUCGUUUGCUCGCAGGAAACAGACCCUCGUGGUCAGGUUGAUCGUGCUCCGGCGUGGUCAAUAACCUCUCGGAGUUGGUUUAGCGAUUGCUAAGGCGCGACGUCCUCGCACGUUCGUAGUCGGAUCGUCAAAGUCGACUUCCACCAAAGCGAUAUCCAUCAUCUCAUCGAAAGACGGGACACCUUUGCCUCUAUCAAGUGGUAUCAGAUUUCCAGGUUGCUCGGUGAGAUUUUACAGUUUUUCGUAGUUUAGAUCGAGUCUGUUCUUCAUACCUAUAGUCCACGAAAAAGCCAAAAAAAAUUAGGGUUAGUUCAUCCCAUCUGAACCAAUCUGAGCCUUGCAUAAUCUUUUCUGUAUUUGCUUUGUUGAAUUUGCGGUUGCAUCGUCGUGUUCAGUUGCUGGUCUUAGCGUCUAGUCUUUUAGAGUUUCGAGUUCUGUUCACAAGUUGUCACGCCAUCGCCGCACCAUCAUCAUCGCCCCUGCCAUCUACCACCACCGCUCCGAAUCCGUAUCCAUAUACCACCACCAAUCCGUGUCCAUAUACCACCACCGAUCCAUAUCCAUAUACUACCACCGCUGCCAUAUACCACCACCAUAUAUCCACCACCAAUCCGUGUUCCUUGCUUAUUAGGUUUGUUUUCGGGAUCAAUCUAGAUUCCGAUUCGUAUUUCCUUGCCGGAGUAGGUUUCGGAAAAAAAAAGAGUCGGGUAGCCACGCUCCGUUUAGGCCCAAAAUUUUUCGAAAACGCAUUUUUCGAAAAAAUUUCUGGCUAUCCUAUUUUUAGGUGUUUCUGAGUGUUUUGAGACAGGUGCCAUUAUAGAAAGUUUUUUUUGACCCGUUUCCAGUUUUUGGGUCCGGNNNNNNNNNNNNNNNNNNNNNNNNNNNNNNNNNNNNNNNNNNNNNNNNNNNNNNNNNNNNNNNNNNNNNNNNNNNNNNNNNNNNNNNNNNNNNNNNNNNNNNNNNNNNNNNNNNNNNNNNNNNNNNNNNNNNNNNNNNNNNNNNNNNNNNNNNNNNNCAGAGUGUGCUUUUCCCUUGUUUACGUGCCGCGCCGUGAUUUUGUUAGUGUUCUAGGCUCGCGUCUCUAGCACAGUCUAGCCUAGGACCAGCACAGUACCGUCGUUGAGCGUUUAUUCAACUUUGCAUCUCUGAAUUGAUUAUUGCUGACCCUUUUUGCUACCAUAUUAUAAGCCUUCCCAGCUCCACAUACAUCUACGUCGUGUGUUUGACUCUCCCUGGUAAUCGCUCUAUAAAAGCUUUGAGAGUUUUUGACUACAACGGUUGCCGAUCACCGCCUGCUGCUGGGUAAGAACUGGUAAGAAUUUGAGAUUUGCUUGACGGAUUUGUGACACCCACCACCACCACUUGUUCGUAGUCUGUAGGAUCAUAUUCUUGUGUGUUUCUAUUGCUGUUAACCAUGCCAGGAUCACAAGCCGACGAGAUUGACUGGGAGAAUUUAUCGAACAAGGAGCUUCAUGAUAAGUUUCAGCAAAUGAUGACUGAACAGGUGCAAGAUGUGCUGAACAAUUUUGAAGAAGCCAUGGAGAAGAUCACUGGCUUUGAGAAGACGUUCGAAACAAAGCUCGAUAACAAGUUUAAUGAAUUGCUCGCGCGUCUUCCACCACCACCACCCGCUGCAGCUAACGCACCUCUCCAACAACAACAACAACAACGACUACCUCCACGUCGCGAAGCAGACCUCCGCCGAGCAAGCCGUGUUCCUCUUGCGUUUGGCCAAACUGUUGGUGCUGCUGUUGAUACUUCUGUGGCUCCUGCUGCUGAUGUGGAGGAGGAUGAUUAUGUGGGAGACUAUGAGGAUGAGGUUGAUCAAAAUCAACACUACGUGCAGCCACCUGUACCACCACCAGCAGGUCGACCUCAGGUAUAUAUUCGUAAUGGUAGGCCUGCACCACCACCUCAGGUACGAGAUGAUGUCCAUAUUCCUAAACUGAAAUUGAAUAUUCCACCAUUUGAGGGUAGAUAUGUUCCUGAUAUAUAUCUUACUUGGGAGUUAGAAACUGAACAACAAUUUACAUGUUUACAAUAUCCUGAGGAGAGACGAGUUGCUGCUGCUGUUUGUGCUUUCACUAGUUUUGCAUGUGUAUGGUGGUCUGAACAUUGUAGAUUAUAUCCUAUUCCAACUACUUGGGCUGCUUUGAAAACUGCUAUGCGUACGCGUUGGGUUCCACCAUAUUAUCAACGUGAAUUGCUUCAAAAAUUGCAGCGUUUAAGACAAGGGAAAAAUUCUGUAGAAGAAUAUUAUCAGGAAUUACAAACUGGCAUGAUUAGAUGUGGUAUUGUUGAGGAGAAUGAAGCUAUGCUUGCACGUUUUCUGGGUGGAUUAAAUAGAGAGAUUCAGACCAUUCUAGACUAUAAGGAGUAUACUAAUGUCACUCGUUUAUUCCAUCUUGCUUGUAAAGCUGAACGCGAAGUGCAGGAUCGACAAGCAUUGGGGCGAACUAACUUUUCUGCAGGCCGACCUUCAUCAUGGACACCACGUGCAUCUUCUACUUCAACUGCACCAGCACCUCCAUCCGGUGCCACCUCCAGCCGUGAUACAAGAAAACAGGCACAACCACCAUUAUCUGCCAAGAGCGCACCUGCGGGGCCUGCACAGCGUUCUUCUUCUUCCAUGGCAUCAACAGGGCACACAAGUGAUAUUAUUUGUCGUCGUUGUAAGGGAGGAGGUCAUUAUGCGAGGGAAUGAAAAUCUCCGCGUGUGAUGAUUGCUACCGCGGAUGGUGGAUAUGAGUCCGCUAGUGACUAUGAUGAGGAGACAUUGGCUCUUAUUACACGUGAAGAACAUGGUGGAGAUGAUUCUGAUCAUGAGACGCAAUACAUGGCUCCUGAAGACGCUGACAGGUAUGAAUGUUUAGUUGCUCAACGUGUUUUGAGUGUGCAGGUCACACAAGCUGAGCAAACUCAGAGGCACAAUUUGUUCCAUACCAAGGGAGUUGUGCAGGAACGUUCUGUGCGCGUCAUAAUAGACGGAGGGAGCUGCAACAACUUGGCUAGCAUGGAGAUGGUGGAGAAGCUUUCUCUCACCACAAGACCACAUCCACAUCCUUACUACAUCCAAUGGUUCAACAACAGCGGCAAGGUUAAGGUAACACGUACUGUUCGUGUGCAUUUUAGUAUCUCUACAUAUGCUGAUUAUGUUGAUUGUGAUGUGGUACCUAUGCAAGCAUGUUCCUUAUUACUUGGUAGACCAUGGCAAUUUGAUAAAAAUUCUGUACACCAUGGUAGAAACAAUCACUAUACUCUUGUUCAUAAGGAUAAAAAUAUUACUUUGCUUCCUAUGACCCCUGAUUCCAUUUUGAAAGAUGAUAUUAAUAGAGCUAAUAAAGCACAACAGGAGAAGAAUAAGAGUGAAAAUCAGAUUGUGGCAAAAGAAUUUGAGCAACAAAUGAAGCCUAAUAAUAAACCAUCUAGUGUUGCUUCUGAAAUUAAAUUGCAAAGUGCAUGUUUAUUUGCCACCAAAUCUGAUAUUGAUGAGCUAGAUUUCAGCAAAUCUGUUUGCUAUGCUUUUGUGUGCAAAGAGGCAUUAUUUUCAUUCGAGGACGUGCCUUCCUCUUUGCCUCCUGCUGUCACUAACAUUUUGCAGGAGUUCGCUGACGUUUUUCCACAAGACGUGCCACCGGGAUUACCGCCUAUUCGAGGGAUUGAGCAUCAGAUCGACUUAAUUCCCGGUGCUUCACUGCCAAACCGUGCACCAUACCGUACCAAUCCAGAGGAGACGAAGGAGAUUAUGCGUCAAGUACAAGAGCUUCUCGACAAAGGUUAUAUACGCGAAUCCCUUAGUCCUUGUGCUGUUCCUAUUAUUCUAGUGCCGAAAAAGGAUGGUACAUCACGUAUGUGUGUUGAUUGUAGAGGCAUUAAUAAUAUUACUAUUCGUUAUCGUCAUCCUAUUCCUAGGCUAGAUGAUAUGCUUGAUGCAUUGAGUGGCUCUACAAUAUUCUCCAAAGUUGAUUUGCGUAGUGGCUACCAUCAAAUUCGUAUGAAAUUGGGAGAUGAAUGGAAAACAGCAUUUAAAACUAAGUUUGGAUUAUAUGAGUGGUUAGUCAUGCCUUUUGGGUUAACUAAUGCACCUAGUACUUUCAUGAGAUUAAUGAACGAAGUUUUACGUGCUUUCAUUGGACGAUUUGUGGUAGUUUACUUUGAUGACAUAUUGAUUUAUAGCAGAUCUUUGGAGGAACAUUUGGAACAUUUACGUGCUGUUUUUAUUGCUCUACGUGAUGCACGUUUGUUUGGUAACCUUGGGAAGUGCACCUUUUGCACCGACCGAGUAUCUUUUCUUGGCUAUGUUGUUACUCCACAGGGAAUUGAAGUUGAUAAAGCCAAGAUUGAAGCUAUUGAGAGUUGGCCGCAGCCCAAAACGGUCACACAAGUGAGGAGUUUUCUUGGCCUUGCUGGAUUCUAUAGGCGUUUUGUGAGAGAUUUCAGCACCAUUGCUGCACCUCUCAACGAGCUUACAAAGAAGGAUGUGCCUUUUGUUUGGGGAACCGCACAGGAAGAAGCCUUCACGGUAUUGAAAGAUAAGUUGACACAUGCUCCUUUACUCCAACUUCCUGAUUUUAAUAAGACUUUUGAGCUUGAAUGUGAUGCUAGUGGAAUUGGAUUAGGAGGUGUGUUAUUACAAGAUGGCAAACCUGUUGCAUACUUUUCUGAAAAAUUGAGUGGGCCUAGUCUGAAUUAUUCUACUUAUGAUAAAGAAUUAUAUGCUCUUGUUCGGACUUUAGAAACAUGGCAACAUUAUUUAUGGCCCAAAGAAUUUGUUAUACAUUCUGAUCAUGAAUCUUUGAAACAUAUUAAAAGUCAAGCUAAACUGAAUCGUAGACAUGCUAAAUGGGUUGAAUUCAUUGAGACUUUCCCUUAUGUCAUUAAACACAAGAAGGGAAAAGAAAAUGUUAUUGCUGAUGCAUUGUCUCGUCGCUAUACUAUGCUUUCACAACUUGACUUCAAAAUAUUUGGUUUGGAGACCAUCAAAGAUCAAUAUGUGCGUGAUGCUGAUUUUAAAGAUGUAAUGCAUAAUUGUAAAGAAGGAAGAAUGUGGAACAAGUUUGUCGUUAACGAUGGAUUUGUGUUUCGUGCUAACAAGCUAUGCAUUCCAGCUAGCUCCGUUCGUCUUUUGUUGUUGCAGGAGGCGCAUGGAGGAGGAUUAAUGGGACACUUUGGCGUGAAGAAGACGGAGGACGUACUUGCUACACAUUUCUUUUGGCCAAAGAUGAGACGGGAUGUUGAGCGUUUUAUUGCUCGCUGCACUACAUGUCAAAAAGCUAAGUCACGCCUCAAUCCUCAUGGUUUAUAUAUGCCUUUGCCUGUACCUAGUGUUCCUUGGGAGGAUAUAUCUAUGGACUUUGUUUUAGGUUUACCUCGAACAAAGAAGGGGAGGGAUAGCAUAUUUGUUGUCGUGGAUAGAUUCUCGAAAAUGGCACACUUUAUACCAUGUCAUAAAAGCGAUGAUGCUAUUAAUGUUGCUGAUUUGUUCUUUCGUGAAAUUAUUCGCUUGCAUGGUGUCCCAAAUACUAUUGUUUCAGAUCGUGAUACUAAAUUUCUUAGCCACUUUUGGAGAUGUUUAUGGGCUAAGUUGGGGACUAAACUGCUUUUUAGUACUACUUGUCACCCCCAAACUGAUGGACAAACUGAAGUAGUCAAUAGAACGUUGUCUACUAUGCUUAGGGCUGUUUUGAAGAAUAAUAAGAAAAUGUGGGAGGAAUGCUUGCCUCAUAUUGAAUUUGCUUAUAAUCGUUCAUUGCAUUCUACUACUAAGAUGUGCCCUUUUAAAGUUGUGUAUGGUUUCCUACCUCGUGCACCUAUUGAUUUGUUGCCUCUUCCAUCUUCGGAGAAGGUUAAUUUUGAUGCUAAACAACGUGCUGAAUUGAUUUUAAAAAUGCAUGAGUUAACUAAGGAAAACAUUGAGCGCAUGAAUGCUAAAUAUAAACUUGCUGGAGAUAAGGGUAGAAAACAUGUUGUGUUUACACCUGGAGAUCUUGUUUGGUUACAUUUGCGUAAGGAUAGAUUUCCUGAUUUGCGCAAAUCAAAGUUAAUGCCACGUGCUGAUGGUCCCUUUAAGGUGUUAGAGAAAAUAAAUGAUAAUGCAUAUAAACUUGAGCUGCCUGCAGAUUUUGGGGUUAGUCCCACUUUUAACAUUGCAGAUUUGAAGCCUUAUUUGGGUGAGGAAGAUGAACUUCCGUCGAGGACGACUUCAUUUCAAGAAGGGGAGGAUGAUGAGGACAUCAAUACAAUUGUUACACCCACAGCCCCUGCUGCUAUACAUACUGGACCAAUUACUAGAGCUCGUGCACGCCAACUAAAUUACCAGGUACUUUCGUUUCUUGGUAAUGUGAUGAGGACAUCAAUACAAUUGUUACACCCACAGCCCCUGCUGCUAUACAUACUGGACCAAUUACUAGAGCUCGUGCACGCCAACUAAAUUACCAGGUACUUUCGUUUCUUGGUGAUGAUUCUAAUGUUCAUGAGAAUAUGAUGCUGCCUAAAUUGGAUACAUUUGUUUUGCUUACAAAUGAAGGGCCUAGCUUGGAGAAGGAUGAACAUUGGAGCAAGAACAAGCAUGGAGAUGAUGGCAUGCGCAAGGGAAACAAUAACGGAGUUAGAAGUGAUGAUUUCAGGACUUUGAAGCCACCAUAAUGGGUGCAUGAAGCCUUGGACGAAAUAUACAAGAUGCCACUUCAUAAAUUUCGUCCCGAGGCUAUUUUAGGUGCUGCGUCACCUUAUUAUUGGGCCAGGCCCAUGUAAUUUCGAAAUACAUAAGUAUAGGCUAUUUUUAGAGUCCGUAUGUGUGGGGAAACAAGAGAUAGGGUUGAUUUCGGACCCCUCCACCAAGGGCCACGAAAUUCCCCCCUCUUCCUCCAUAUAUACAGCCCUUAGGGCAUCGUUUAGACUUUGGGUUUUGUUUAGAUUAAAAGUUCGCCAUAGCUGCAACUUCGCGUACUUCGUUUGUGUUCAACGACCAGACAAAGGCGUCACAGAACCCCACCUUGAUCAAUAAAGCUUUCAUCUUAUAUUCGCAAUAUCCAGAUUGCAAUCUUAGUUUCUUGCUUGUUCUUCGUUUGCUCGCAGGAAACAGACCCUCGUGGUCAGGUUGAUCGUGCUCCGGCGUGGUCAAUAACCUCUCGGAAUUGGUUUAGCGAUUGCUAAGGCGCGACGUCCUCGCACGUUCGUAGUCAGAUCGUCAAAGUCGACUUCCACCAAAGCGAAAUCCACCAUCUCAUCGAAAGACGGGACACCUCCGCCUCUAUCAUAAUGAUUCUAAUAUUCAUGAGAAUAUGAUGCUGCCUAAAUUGGAUACAUUUGUUUUGCUUACAAAUGAAGGGCCUAGCUUGGAGAAGGAUGAACAUUGGAGCAAGAACAAGCAUGGAGAUGAUGGCAUGCGCAAGGGGAACAAGAACGGAGUUACAAGUGAUGAUUUCAGGACUUUGAAGCCACCAUAAUGGGUGCAUGAAGCCUUGGACGAAAUAUACAAGAUGCCACUUCAUAAAUUUCGUCCCGAGGCUAUUUUAGGUGCUGCGUCACCUUAUUAUUGGGCCAGGCCCAUGUAAUUUCGAAAUACAUAAGUAUAGGCUAUUUUUAGAGUCCGUAUGUGUGGGGAAACAAGAGAUAGGGUUGAUUUCGGAUCCCUCCACCACGGGCCACGAAAUUCCCCCCCUCUUCCUCCAUAUAUACAGCCCUUAGGGCAUCGUUUAGACUUUGGGUUUUGUUUAGAUUAAAAGUUCGCCAUAGCUGCAACUUCGCGUACUUCGUUUGUGUUCAACGACCAGACAAAGGCGUCACAGAACCCCACCUUGAUCAAUAAAGCUUUCAUCUUAUAUUCGCAAUAUCCAGAUUGCAAUCUCAGUUUCUUGCUUGUUCUUCGUUUGCUCGCAGGAAACAGACCCUCGUGGUCAGGUUGAUCGUGCUCCGGCGUGGUCAAUAACCUCUCGGAGUUGGUUUAGCGAUUGCUAAGGCGCGACGUCCUCGCACGUUCGUAGUCGGAUCGUCAAAGUCGACUUCCACCAAAGCGAUAUCCAUCAUCUCAUCGAAAGACGGGACACCUUUGCCUCUAUCAAUCGAGCAUGACAUGUAUGAGCACAAUCAACAAAUAUGGAGGUGUUUGUGUACCAAAGCUCGAUGUCGAGGCAUGAGUGGAGUUUCGAAGGUGCAUCCAAGAAGUGCGAGCGCUCCUCAAUGUGAAGGUCCAUGUAGCCAAUCUCCAAUGUCGUUCCUCCGUUCACUAGAUGUAACAUGUAGACAACAAGAAGGAAACAACAAUGAAAGAGUGACCCAUCCUAUGUGUAUUUGAGGAUGGCUCAAAGGGAAGGAGUUCACCUCAAGAAAGUUCCCAAAGAUGUUGGAGUCGUACAUCAUGUAUGUCUUCACAUACCCAAUAUGUCGCAUAACGGCACCGCCUUGUGAAUCCUUCAAAAUGAAAGAACAUGACAAACACUCGGAAAAACAAAUGAGGCUAGCGGACAUGCAAAACCUAUCAUUCGAGUGGUAAUAUACCAAACAAGUGUAUGCAUCAUGCUCAUCAUAAGAAGGUACAAGGGAGCAUUUCAUAGUGUGGAGGCAUAUGAUGCAAGAACAACCAAAUACAAGAGGCUCAAGGAAAGAAGUAUGCAUCACAAGUAAGGUGUCAAAGUCUCCGAAAUCAAUAAGCAUAGUAUGGUUGCACUCAAUACAAGUGGAUAUGAAAGAGGCAACUAAUGGACACAAGAGACAAUGAUCAAGAUAUAUCAUGUGAGAGGCAUGAGCAUAUAUGUCAUCAACCCAAGAAAGCAAGUGAUAGUGGAACAUGGGUGAUGCAACCAAGCAAGCAAUCAUAGCAAUCAAGUCAAGCAAGCUAGUAGUGCGAAGAUGCAACAUACUAGAAGGAAUCAUGGCAAGCAUGUCAUGUGUGCAAAUAGUGGGCAUGCAUAAUGGACAUGACAUAGCACAAACAAGGAAGCAAGAUAUGAAGAAAAUAGCAUGAAUGUAUUGGCAAGAGACCAUAUGUAAAUAGCAAUGGGGCAUCAUGACUCUCCCAACACAACAAGCAUCAAUAGCAUGGGGCACAUGAUAAACAUGGCAAUAGCAACAAGGAUCUCCACCAAGCAUGCAAAUACACAUAGGAGUAGCAUAAUGGUGAAUCAUGGGUAGAUGCAAGCAAGGGUCACAAUUGCAUGGCAAAGGCAUAGAAAGAGGCAUAACAUGCAAAGUGAACACAAUAGUAUGGGCAUAAGGUGACAAGUAGUAAAUAGCCCAUAGCCGUGUGAGAGCCAAGUAGAAGAGAUGCGCGUAGUCCUUGCGCGAAUGGAACGGUUGUAAGUUUAGUCCACGGGAUCCCAAAAGAUCGUUGCUCUCAAGAGCUCGUUUCGUCAACUCUUGGGAUUGGGAGGUUGACGAGUAUACAUGAGUACCUUCACAAAACAAAGGCAAAGAGAAAAUUGUGUGUGCAUGGUAUAUGUACACAUCAUCCAUCAUGAUGCGCACGUGCAUGUGUCGGUUAGCACAAAAUAGCCAAUGCUCAAAUAAAUGAGAUGCGUGAUAUAGAAACAUGUCAUCCAUCAUGAGAGGUUUGUUGUUAUGUAUUUCAUAAUGGAGACUCAAAUUGUGUAAUGCAUCAUGAGAAAUAUCUAGAGCAUUGUUAUUCAUGGAAUGCAUAUGGUGAAAACAAUCAUGGAAAUCAUGCAAAGUAUGAAAUGCAUCAAGAUCUCCUAAUAUGUAUGAGGAAACUAUGGGGGUCGCCUCAUGAGCAAGAGUAGAAACAUCACGUGGAGAAUAUUGACAACAUCCAAAACAAUGCAUAUUCGAAAUAAUGUGAUCAUGGCAUGUCAUAGUGGAGGAAUUGCACAAAUCAUGUAAAGGAAGCAUGGCAAUAUCAUCACAUGAAAAACAAAAGCCAAUGACCAUCAUCUCGUCAUCUAUGCCAUGAGUGCAAAUGGGAUUUAUUUUAAUGGGGCAUGCAUAGUUAGUAUGUUGAGAUUGUAAUGAUGCAAUAUGGGAGAUCUCACUCAUAGCAUAUAACAAGUUCAAUGGAUUGUCAAACAUGAUGUGACCAAUAGAAUUUUCACAUGAUAUCCUAUGAAGCAUAACAUCACAACUAGGCAACUCAACAUGCUCAUCAUCAUAUUCAUCAUAAAUAGGCAAGUCAAGGCAUGAAGAAGUCUCACUAGCAUGAAGCAUGGGAAUAGGUGGGUCAACAUCAUGGGAGCAAUCGAUGUCAAGAGCGUCCACUAGUGGGGACAAGAGAAGCACCAUCACCUAUGUUACCUUUGGAGCUCGCUCAUGUGUUGUAGGUGAGGUGUUGAGGAUACACUCGUUGUCAUCUUCAUCUUGAUGGAACCAUGUGGGGUGUGUAUCAUCGUCCACCAUGGCCGUCGGUGUUUCCAUUGGAGGGAUGGACUCGUCGAGGAUAGGCAUGUCGUCAUGUAGGAGACCUAGCACCAAAGAAGAAAACACACUAGGAGUAGAGGUUAAGUCGUUAGAAAUCAUAGUGGCCUCACGUGCCGUGUCAACUACCUCACUCUCUAAGUGUUGUGGUUCACUCACUCCCUCAAGGAUGCUCUCAAUGUCACGUAUGGUGGAGUCACUCAUGUCACUCAUGUGGUGGUGGCUCUCCUCACAUGGCACUUGGGGCAUUUCUUCAUAUGUGGGUGUCGGAGAGAUGUUGGUGUAAAUGUCUCCAUGCGCGGUCGCGUAGCUUGACUCGGAGGAGGAGUCCAAUGUGGGCGCCGUCUUCAUGUUGUUGAAGAGGUUCGUGCUCGUCGCCAUGGUCGAAGGGGAUGGCCCUUGCUCGACCGUCUUGUCACCGUCUUGGUGUUGGAGGCCCAUAUGAUGUGGCACCUCAUAGCUCGUUUCCAUGACCGAAGGGAAUUUCCCAUGCUCGGCCAUCUUCCUUGGGGGGCUUCCAAAGACGGAAGUGUCACCCUCACUUGUAUGUGGUCGCCUUGGACUUGAUGAAGUCAAUGUAGGCGUACACGUGGGAAGUAGGCGAAGAUGCCGUACGUCCAAAGGCGAAGAUGCCUUGAUAGCACUUGGCGAAGAUGCUGAAGUGGUUGUUGUAGCCGUAGCGCCGUCUUGGUGGUGCUCGUCUCGCGAUCUUCUUUUGUGCUUAUGAAGCUUCGACGUGGCGUGAAGUAGGGCUUGUUGGGACUUGUGCAUUUGCGCUUGUCGAGCAUCUUCAUGAUGAUGAUGAUCACGAACGUGAUGGUGGUCGCCAUGUAGAUGUUGACUUGGACGACUUGCGCUUGCAUCUUGUUUGCGCUCCGAAGACUUGUGGCUUGAAUGUCGCUGCCUUGAAGAUGACGAAGGGGAAGUAGACUUGAGCAAGGUCCGAAUCUCCUCCAUCCUUGCAUCUUUCUCCUCUUUAUGUGCGGCAAGCUUCUUGUCGAUGUAGUCCCUUCUCCUUGCUUCGGAGUGAUGAAUGUCGAUGGAGAUGUUCUCGAUGCGCUCUCGCAAUCUUGAUUGUGUGCCUUGCACUUGUCGUUGUAGAUCAAAGAUAGACGCUUUGGUGAUGUAGUUGUUCACGCUGUUUUUGUUGUCGAGGACCGAAGAGGAAAUGCCUUGCCUAUCCAUCACAAGACUCGAGCAAAUAUGAGUGGGAGAAAGAGAAGAACUUAUACCAAUGUACCUUGACCGAUGUUGACAAUGAAUCAAGUUCACUCAAAUGCGGACAAUAAAAUAGCACUAUUGGUACCAAUCCUUGUCAGUUCUCACACCUACACAAGUAAAGCUUAUAGUGGAGCUCGGUGAGGAUAGUGGCACAAAAAUUUAAUGCAAAAUGUUAGCAAGAGUCAAUAAUGUUGAAAGAAAUUCACAAAUUUGCAAGCGAAACAAAUGGACCAAUAGCAAUAUGGGUGGCACACGGAAACGCACACACGGAUAGAUAGAUGGGGUCAUGCAACCAAGGAAUGAGCACAAAAUGUGGAACCCACGGAAAACGCUCAUGUUGCACAACUCAAGAGAGACACUAGCACAAUUGCUCAAUGGGCGGAUACGACACUUGUGCACAACCUAUAAGAUGCAAGAUGGAUAAACUUUCUAUCCCAAGUAUGCUAUGUAUGUAUGGUUCCCGGUGUUUCUCUCAAGAUGAUCCAAGAUGAUCGUAUAUGAAAAUAUUAUGUGCAAUGUGGUAUGAUGCUAUGGCACUUGCUUACAAGCUCUUUGCUCUUUCUCUUUUGCUUAAAAGCUUUAUUUCUUUUUUUUUCUAUGGCCACUUUUGCACAAUGCACAAACCAAGAUAGCAAUUGUGUAUAUGCGGGAACAAAGUUGUGACACAAGAGAUGAUACCUAUAUGAUAUGGUAUGUAUGCAAUGGAUGGUGUAGAUCACUAAUGUGCACAAGUAACGUUGCCGGCACUACUCAAAUGGCUAGUCUCGAUAGGUAAGUAACGCAAAAGUAAGGCUAGGGGUUAUCAAUGCAAUUUGCAAGGGGAAUAUACAAUGGAUUCAUCGAGGUUACCGUCCUUUGUGAUGAUGAGUGGUGGUGUUCUUGAUGUAGAUACCAAGAUGAUGGAACUCGUCCCUAAGUAGCCGAAACACCUUAGGAAACAGAAAAACCGCGAACUCAAAAUCUCAAAUGACAAAUGUCAAAUGGUGGUAGCGGAAAGCGGUGGUGGUUUUGCACUAGGCAACGCGGAAGUGGGAUGAUGGGCAAAACACGUGUCGGAGUUGAAGUUGUCGUCCCUAAGUAGCUGAAACACCUUAGGAGACACAAGCCACAACUCAAACAAAAUUGGGUUAAGUUGGGGUAGAAAUGUAUGGUGGGCACGUCUAUGCGGAAGUGGUAGUGGUGGUUGAUGAAGAAGCGAUUGUCCCUAAGUAGCCGAAACACCUUAGGAGACUCGAAUCACUACUCAAGCAACCACUAAUGGUAAGGGCUAGGUUGAGCUUGUUUGAGUUCAUCAAGAUGGGUUAGGUUGCGGAAGUCGGUGGUGACUAUGCGGAUGAUAUGGUGGAGGGCCUAGGCAAACUUGCCAAAUUUUCGAAAAUUUUAUGGAGUCAAAUGAUGUUGGUGGUAUUUUUGUGGGAUGUGGGAUGUCAAUAGCUUCAAAACGAGCUAAAGAACGUCAAAAACGGACUCCUGAUGAAUUAGUUAUGGGCAAAACGGUGAAACUCGGAACGCUGAAACUGGGAGGGGCGGUAGUACCGCUUGGGAGGGCGGUUGUACCGCUCGAGGUUGAUGUGGAGCAUCCCACGUUCAUCCCCAUGUACACUCCGACUACUCUCCAAGCCCCAAGAGGACAUAUGACGAGACCUCGAACAUACGCCAUUGGACACAAGGUGAAUUCACUCCUCUUCGAACCGUCACUUUCCGCAUAUGAGACAUGGUUACUACCUCAAACGGAAACGCUAUGCAUACUCAGGUACCAAGGACUUCACCGUGAAGAAGCUAGGGAGCAAGGAGAACCGGAAGCGGAAGACAUACGUGAAGACGGAGAGGAAAAGCGCCAAGGACCAGACUGGCCGGACGAUCUGGACGGCGGCCCGGAUGAUCCGGACAGAGCCCGGACGAUCCGGACCCCCAUCCGGACGAUCCGGCUAAUUCGACCAAAGACUACAGAAGCCUCCCCCCUGAAGCCGGAUCAUCCGGACCCCGUCCCGGAUCAUCCGGACCAUGCCCGGACGUCCGGACCGCCAGGCGGACAUCCGGCCCUGCGCCUCCACCAGCCGAGUCUUCGGAUCAUCCGGGCCUCCACCCGGACCAUCCGGACCAGCCCGGAUCAUCCGGCUUCGGACCCGGAUCAUCCGGCCAGCGCCUGUGUGCGCGUGUUGGGCUGAGCCCGUGUACCCCUUCGACCCCCUAGCCUAUAAAUAGGACUCCUCCUCCUCCUUUUGAGACUUAGCAUUGGAUUAGCUCAUAUUUGUGAGAGAGCCUUUGCUCAUCCACUUGGAUACUUCUCCUCGGAGAUCAGGACCUCUCCGGAGAAGAUCCCCAAGCGGAUUCAAGACCCCUCUUUAGGGAAGAACAUCAAGGCCUCCUCUUGGAGAAGAACGAUUCCGUUGUAUCCUUUCCCUUUGUUGAUUGUGGAUCAUAUGUUGCUCUAUGUAUUCGAUGAUCUAGCACUUGUGUGAUCGAUUCCUUGUUGGUUGAGUGAUUCUCUCUCGUUUUCCCCCGUGUUUCCCUUUGUGCUUCCGCGUGUUCUUCGUGAUUCCCCGUAGGAUCCACUCCAAACGUGAAAGAUCGACGCUAUAGGGUUCCACCGUACAUCAUAUGGUAUCAUGAGCCACGUUGAUCACGUUUUUGGAGCCCCUACCCCGUGAUUUCUAGCUUGAUUUUGUUGUGUUCGUCCUAAAUCCGAAAAUCCCCACCAAAAAUAACCCCAAAUUUUUUUGUGAUUUGUUGGUUUGAUGAUGUUUUGUUGAUUUUGAUCCGUGGAUUUGCUUGGUUUCAAGUGGAUCUAGCAUUUCCCCAAGUUUCCCCACCUUCCAUCCACGAAAUCCCUCAAAUUUUGCCCGGAAAAUCAUCCAUUUCCGCCCAAAAAUUCGUCCUCGUGAGGAAAUCCCGAGUAGUUUGACCUGCCCGGAUCAUCCGGACCUUCUCCCGGAUCAUCCGGACAUCCCCCGGAUCAGCUGGACGCCCUCCCGAACGUCCGGAUAACCCACGCACCCAGAAAACAGAACCGGAGCUGACGAACCCGGAUCAUCCGGAUGUACACCCGGAUCAUCCGGACCUAGCCCGGAUCAUCCGGACCUCCUCCCGGAUGUCCGGUUAACCCUGACACUGCUUCGGCUGAAAUCUUGUUUUGGCCGUAACUAAUUCAUCCGAACUCCGAUUUUGACGUUCUUUAGCUUGUUUUGAAGCUUUUGACAUCCCCCAUCCCACAAAAAUACCACCAACAUCAUUUGACUCCAUCAUAGUUUCUGAAAUUUGGCAAGUUUGCCUAGGCCCUCCACCAUAUCAUCCGCAUUACCACCACCGACUUCCGCAACCUAACCCAUUUUGUUCCCCAUUGCAUAUGUGGUUGUUUGAGUUGUGAUUAGAGUCUCCUAAGGUGUUUCGGCUACUUAGGGACAAUUGCUUCUUCAUCAACCACCACCACCACUUCCGCAUAAUCUUGCCCACCAUACAAUUCCACCCCAACUUAACCCAAUUUUGUUUGAGUUGUGGCUUGUGUCUCCUAAGGUGUUUCGGCUACUUAGGGACGGCAACUUCAACUCCAACUCGUGUAUAGCCCAUCAUUCCACUUCCGCAUUGCCUAGUGCAACACCACCACCGCUUUCUGCUACCACCAUUUGACAUUUUUCAUUUGAGAUUUUGAGUUUGCGGUUUUUCUGUUUCCUAAGGUGUUUCUGUUACUUAGGGACGAGUCUCCAUCAUCUUGGUAUCUACACCAAGAACACCGCCACUCAUCAUUGCAAAGGACGGUAACCUCGACGACACCUUUGUAUUUUUCCUUGCAAUUGCAUUGUUAACCCCUAGCCCAUUUUGCGUUACUUGCCUAUCGAGACUAGCCAUUUGAGUAUUGCCGGCAACGUGACUUGUGCACACUAGCGGUCUACACCAUCCAUUGCAUACAUACCAUAUCAUCUUGGUAUCAUACCAUCCAUUGUGCCUCAAGUUUGUUCCCGCAUAUACACAAUUGCUAUCUUGGUUUGUGCAUUGUGCAAAGUGGCCAUAGAAAAAAAAAAGAAAUGAAGCUUUUAAGCAAAAGAGAAAGAGAGCAAAGAAGCUUGUAAGCAAGUGCCAUAGCAUCAUACCACAUUGCAUAUAAGAUUGUCAUAUCCGAUCAUCUUGGAUCAUCUUGAGAGAAACACCGGGAACCAUACAUACAUAGCAUACUUGGGAUAGAAGUUUAUCCAUUUUGCAUUUUAUAGGUUGUGCACAAGUGUCGUAUCCGCCUAUUGAGCAAUCGUGCUAGCGUCUCUCUUGAGUUGUGCAACACGAGCGUUUUCCGUGGAUUCCACAUUUUGUGCUCAUUCCUUGGUUGCACGACCCCAUUUAUCUAUCCGUGUGUGCGUUUCCGUGUGCCUUUCAUAUUGCUAUUGGUCUACUUGUUUCACUUGCGAAUUUGUGAAUCUCUUUCAACAUUAUUGACUCUUGCUAACAUUUUGCAUUAAAUUUUUGUGCCACUAUCCUCACCGAGCUCCACUAUAAGCUUUUACUUGUGUAGGUGUGAGAACCGACAAGGAUUGGUACCAAUAGUACUAUUUCAUUGUCCGCAUUUGAGUGAACUUGAUUCAUUUUCAACAUCGGUCAAGGUACAUUGGUAUAAGUUCUUCUCUUUCUCCCACUCAUAUUUGCUCGAGUCUUGUGAUGGAUAGGCAAGGCAUUUCCUCUCCGCUCCUCGACAACAACGACGGCGUGAACAACUACAUAACCAAAGCGUCUAUCUUCGAUCUACAACGACAAGUGCAAGGCACACAAUCAAGAUUGCGAGAGCGCAUCGAGAACAUCUCCAUCAACAUUCAUCACUCCGAAGCAAGGAGAAGGGACUACUUCGACAAGAAGCUUGCCGCACAUAAAGAGGAGCAAGAUGCAAGGAUGGAGGAGAUUAGAGCCUUGAUCAAGUCUACUUCCCCUUCAUCAUCUUCAAGGCGGCGACAUUCAAGACACAAGUCUUCGGAGCACGAAAAAGAUGCAAGCGCAAGUCGUCCAAGUCAACAUCUACAUGGCGACCACCAUCACGUUCGUGAUGCACAUCGUCAUGAAGGGCAAGUAACCUCCAAGCAUCAUGUGCAUGACGACGACGAACGCCUUCGAGCUCAAGCGCGACAACGACACCAUCAUCAUGAAGAUGCUCCACAAGCACAAAUGCACAAGUCCCAACACGCCAAGUCGAAGCUUCAUGAGCAUAAAAGAAGACCGCGAGAAGACCACCACCAAGACGGCGCUACGGCUACAUCAACCACUUCGGCAUCUUCGCCAAGUGUUCUCAAGGCAUCUUCGCCUUUGGACGUACGGCAUCUUUGCCUACUUCCCACGAGUAUGCCUACAAUGACUUCAUCAAGUCCAAGGCGACUACAUACGAGCGAGGGUGACACUUCCAUCUUCGGAAGCCCCUCAAGGAAGAUGGCCGAGUAUGGGAAAUUCCCUUCGGUCAUGGAGACGAGCUACGAGGUGCCACAUCAUAUGGGCCUCCAACACCAAGACGGUGACAAGACGGUUGAGCAAGGGCCAUCCCCUUCGACCACGGCGACAAGCGCGAACCUCUUCAACACCAUGAAGACGGCGCCCACAUUAGACUCAUACUCCGAGUCAAGCUACGCGACCGCGCAUGGAGACAUUUGCACCUACACCUCUCCGACACCCACAUAUGAAGAGAUACCCAAAGUGCCAUGUGGGGAGAGCCACCACCACAUGAGUGACAUGAGUGACUCCACCAUAUGUGACAUUGAGAGCAUUUCCUAUGAGAGGAUGAGUGUGACCACCACUAGCCCCACACAUGAGAGCAUGCAACACAUCCUAUGUGAGGUUGAGAGCCAUUUGAGUGACUCCACCUACCAUACGAGUGAGAGCAUCCUUGAGGGAGUGAGUGAGCCACAACACUUAGUGAGUGAGGUAGUUGACACAGCAUGUGAGGCCACUAUGAUUUCUAAUGACUUAACCUCUACUCCUAGUGUGUUUUCUUCUUUGGUACUAGGUCUCCUACAUGACGACAUGCCUAUCCUUGACGAGUCCAUCCCUCCAAUGGAAACACCGAUGGCCAUGGUGGAUGAUGAUACACCCCCCACAUGGUUCCAUCAAGAUGAAGAUGACAACGAAUGGAUCUUCAACACCUCACCUACAACACAUGAACGACGCUCCAAAGGUAACAUAGGUGAUGGUGCUUCUCUUGUCCCACUAGUGGACGCUCUUGACAAUGAUUGCUCCCAUGAUGAUGACCCACCUAUUACCAUGCUUCAUGCUAGUGAGACUUCUUCAUGCCUUGACUGACCUAUUUAUGAUGAAUAUGAUGAUGAGCAUGUUGAGUUUCCUAGUUGUGAUGCUAUGCUUCAUAGGAUAUCAUGUGAAAAUUCUAUUGGUCACUUCAUGUUUGACAAUCCAUUGAACUUGUCAUAUGCUAUGAGUGAGAUCUCCCAUAUUGCUUCAUUUCAAUCUCAACAUAAUAACUAUGCAUGCCCCGUUAAGAUCAAUCCCAUUUGCAAUUAUGGCAUAGAUGACGAGAUGAUGGUCAUUGGCUUUUGCUUCUCUUGUGAUGAUAUUGCCAUGCUUCCUUUACAUGAUUUACGCAAAUCACCUACUAUGUCAUGCCAUGAUCACAUUGUCCCAAAUAUGCAUUGUUUUGGAUGUUGUCAAUAUUCUCCAUGUGAUGUUGCUACUCAUGCUCAUGAGGAGACCCCCAUAGUUUCCUCGUACAUAUUAGGAGAUCUUGAUGCAUUUCAUACUUUGCAUGAUUACCAUGAUUGCUUGCACCAUAUGCAUUCCAUGAAUAACAAUGCUCUAGAUAUUUCUCAUGAUGCAUUACACAAUUUGAGUCUCCAUUAUGCGAUACAUAACAACAAACCUCUCAUGAUGGAUGACAUGUUUCUAUAUCACGCAUCUCAUUUAUUUGAGCAUUGGCUAUUUUGUGCUAACCGACACAUGCAUGUGCGCAUCAUGAUGGAUGAUGUGUACAUAUACCAUGCACACACAAAUUUUCCUUUGUCUUUGUUUUGUGUAGGUACUCUCAUAUACUCGUCAACCUCUCAAUCCCAAGAGUUGACGAAACGAGCUCUUGAGAGCAAUGAUGACUUGGGAUCCCGUGGACAAUCCUUACCACUGUUCCCUUCGCGCAUAGACUAUGCGCAUCUCUUUUACUUGGCUCUCACACGGCUAUGGGCUAUUUACCACUUGUCACCUUAUGCUCAUUUUCCCGUGUUCACUUUGCAUGUUAUACUUGCUUCUAUGCAUUUGCCAUGCAAUUGUGACCCUUGCUUGCAUCUACCCAUGAUUCACCAUUAUGAUACUUCUAUGUGUAUUUGCAUGUUUGGUGGAGAUCCUUGUUGCUUUUGCCAUGUUUAUCAUGUGCCCCAUGCUAUUGAUGAUUGUUGUGUUGGGAGAGUCAUGAUGCCCCAUUGCUAUUCACAUAUGGUCUCUCGCCAAUACAUUGAUGAUAUUUUGCUCAUAUCUUGCUUUCAUGUUUGUGCUAUGUCAUGUCCAUUAUUCAUGCCCACUAUUUGCACACAUGACAUGCUUGCCAUGAUUCCUUCUAGUAUGUUGCAUCUUUGCACUACUAGCUUGUUUGACGUGAUUGCUAUGAUUUCUUGCUUGGUUGCAUCACCCAUGUUCCACUAUCACUUGCUUUCUUGGGUUGAUGACACAUAUGCUCAUGCCUCUCACUUGAUUUGUCAUAAUCAUUGCCUCUUGUCUCCAUUAGUUGCAUCUCUCAUAUCACCUUGUAUUGAGUGCCAACUUGCUAUGCUUAUUGAUCUUGGAGACUUGGACACUUUACUUGUGAUGCAUGAUUGUUUGAUUGAGCCUCUUGUAUUUGGUUGUUCUUACAUCAUAAGCCUUCAUACUAUGAAAUGCUCCCUUGUCCAUUCUUAUGAUGAGCAUGAUGCAUACACUUGUUGGGUAUCUUACCACACGAAUGAUAGGUUUUGCACUUCCGCUAACCUCAUUUGUUUUUCCGAGUGUUUGUCAUGUUCUUUCAUUUUGAAGGAUUCACAAGGCGGUACCAUCACGCGGCAUAUUGGUUAUGUGAAGGCAUACAAGAUGCGCAACUACAUCAACCUUGUGACACUCUUAAAGGUGAACUCCUUCUCUUCGAGCCAUCCUCAAAUACGCAUAUUGGAUGGGUCACUCUUUCAUUGUUGUUUCCUUCUUGUUGUCUACAUGAUACAUCUCGUGAACGGAAGCACGACAUUGGAGAUUGGCUACAUGGACCUUCACAUUGAGGAGCGCUCGCACUUAUUGGAUGCACCUUCGGCCUUCCACCCAUGCCUCGACAUCGAGCUUUGGUACACCAACACCUCCAUAUUAAUUGAUUGUGCUCAUACAUGUCAUGCUCGAUGGACAUAUCAUACUCACCACAAGUUUGCACACUAUGCAUGGAGUGACUCACAUUAUGAUUGCCUUGUUGCAUCUUGUAUUCCCAUGUCAUCCAUGAUAUAUGAGCUUGUGCAUUUCCUUAGCAAAUUUGUUGUGAUCUUCCUUGAUGGCAUAUUCAUACAUCCUGAUCAUAUUGCCCACCAUCAAUUGCAUGAUAAUAUUCACAUAUUGAGCAUCCGUUGCCAUGUUCAUGCAUUUGAUAAACCGUCUCACUAUGACAUCAUUUUGCACCGUGGUUGCAUUGAUCAUAUUUACAAAACAUUUGUGUGCACAAUGAUUGCAUUUCCUCCCAUGAAUGCUUUGCAUCUCAUUCUAGAUCAUCUUGAUAAGCUUCGUGCGCUUUGUCACGGCCAAUCUUGCCGCACGGACUCAUUCUUGCAUGAUGGACACUUUGUGUGCGCUAACCAUGGUAUUUCCGAGUGUUGUUUGUGUUUGUUUCUUUUGCAUGUAUACCACUCCGGCUACACCUUGGACUACUUGGAUUGCGCCAUGCCUUCCACCUCGCCCAACUACAAGUCCGUUCACGACAACCGUUUCCAUGGUGAUGAGGAUCACGAUCCGAGGUCGGAUCUUUCACAAGGGGGGGGGGGAUAUGAUGCGGAGCAUCCCACUUUCAUCCCCAUGUACACUCCGACUACUCUCCAAGCCCCAAGAGGACAUAUGACGAGACCUCGAACAUACGCCAUUGGACACAAGGUGAAUUCACUCCUCUUCGAACCGUCACUUUCUGCAUAUGAGACAUGGUUACUACCUCAAACGGAAAUGCUAUGCAUACUCAGGUACCAAGGACUUCACUGUGAAGAAGCUAGGGAGCAAGGAGAACCGGAAGCGGAAGACAUACGUGAAGGCGGAGAGGAAAAGCGCCAAGGACCAGAUUGGCCGGACGAUCCGGACGGCGGCCAGGAUGAUCCGGACAGAGCCCGGAUGAUCCGGACCCCCAUCCGGACGAUCCGACUAAUUCGACCGAAGACUACAGAAGCCUCCCCCCUGAAGCGGAUCAUCCGGACCCCGUCCCGGAUCAUCCGGACCAUGCCCGGACGUCCGGACAGCCAGCCGGACAUCCGGCCCUGCGCCUCCACCAGCCGAAUCUCCGGAUCAUCCGGGCCUCCACCCGGACCAUCCGGACCAGCCCGGAUCAUCCGGCUUCGGACCCGGAUCAUCCGGCCAGCGCCUGUGUGCGCGUGUUGGGCUGAGCCCGUGUACCCCUUCGACCCCCUAGCCUAUAAAUAGGACUCCUCCUCCUCCUUUUGAGACUUAGCAUUGGAUUAGCUCAUAUUUGUGAGAGAGCCUUUGCUCAUCCACUUGGAUACUUCUCCUCGGAGAUCAGAACCUCUCCGGAGAAGAUCCCCAAGCGGAUUCAAGACCCCUCUUUAGGGAAGAACAUCAAGGCCACCUCUUGGAGAAGAACGAUUCCGUUGUAUCCUUUCCCUUUGUUGAUUGUGGAUCAUAUGUUGCUCUAUGUAUUCGAUGAUCUAGCACUUGUGUGAUCGAUUCCUUGUUGGUUGAGUGAUUCUCUCUCGUUUCCCCCCGUGUUUCCCUUUGUGCUUCCACGUGUUCUUCGUGAUUCCCCGUAGGAUCCACUCCAAACGUGAAAGAUCGACGCUAUAGGGUUCCACCCUACAUCAAAGGUACUCAGCGGUAGUACCGCUCAGAGGGGCGGAAGUACCGCUCGUGUCGGGAUUUUUCGCAGAUCGACUCGGGGCGCGAUUUUGGGGCGGAAAUGGAUGAUUUCGGGGGCAAAAUUGGAUGGAUUUCGUGGAUAAGAGGGGAAACUUGGGGGAAUGCUAGAUCCACUUGAAACCAAGCAAAUCCAUGGAUCAAAAUCAACAAAACAUCAUCAAACCAACAAAUCACAAAAAAAAUUGGGGGCUAUUUUUGGUGGGGAUUUUCGGAUUUAGGACGAAAACAACAAAAUCAAGCUAGAAAACAGGGGGUAGGGGCUCCAAAAACGUGAUCAACGUGGC
Molecule: long non-coding RNA, 45853 nt
Filed under: Triticum aestivum (bread wheat)
Lineage: Eukaryota; Viridiplantae; Streptophyta; Magnoliopsida; Poales; Poaceae
Description: long non-coding RNA (TAES_LNC011891)
Source: RNAcentral